Molecule: long non-coding RNA, 51731 nt
Filed under: Linum usitatissimum (flax)
Lineage: Eukaryota; Viridiplantae; Streptophyta; Magnoliopsida; Malpighiales; Linaceae
Description: long non-coding RNA (LUSI_LNC004322)
Source: RNAcentral
CCCUUUCUCUACAUUUUUUCCACUCUCUAUUACUCCACGUACUGCCUAGAGUUUUAGUUUUGUUUACCACCGUACUACAGUAGACACUAGACAGUGGAGAACCCAUCCUCUCGCCGCUCGCCUCUGGUCUAUAUAGGACGGCACCGGUGGAAACUGUCUGAUUUGCUUUUACCUUUUCUUCCGUUCAGUCGAAUCAACAAGGAAAUGGAAGACUCAAAUAGCGGAGCUUCUCUCCCGUCCGUCGGUACCGACGCCAAAAAGCGACGUGUGACCUACUUCUACGAGCCCACCAUCGGCGACUACUACUACGGCCAGGGACACCCGAUGAAGCCCCACCGUAUCCGUAUGGCCCACAACUUAAUCGUCCACCACUCCCCGUCCACUACUCCCUCCACCGCCGCAUGGAGAUCAACCGCCCAUUCCCCGCCGGCCCCAACGACGUCCGCAAAUUCCACUCCGACGAAUACGUCGACUUCCUCUCCACCAUUACCCCUUCCGCUGUUUCAGACCCUCUCAACCAUCGCCAUCUCAAGAGGUUCAACGUCGGGGAGGACUGUCCUGUCUUCGACGGCAUUUUCGGUUUCUGUCAGGCUUCUACCGGUGGCUCGAUUGGGGCUGCCGUCAAGCUCAAUCGAGGGGACGCUGACAUCGCAAUUAAUUGGGCCGGCGGAUUGCAUCAUGCGAAGAAGAGUGAAGCCUCAGGGUUUUGUUAUGUGAAUGAUAUUGUGCUUGGGAUUCUGGAGAUGCUCAAGGUUCACAAGGUAGCAUUACAAACUGUGUUUUUACUCUUUAUCAUGUUGUUAAGGAAGAAGUAUGUUUAUUAGCUUAGAAUGAUUUUGGCCUUGCUUGAGCUGAUUUAUAAAACCAUGAAAAUGUACGUGAUUGAAUCCUUUGCUUGUUUGCUGCUUCAAUACCAUGUAUUUGAGUCCCCAAAUACACAUCAAGGAUUUGAAAGCUUACCUAUCCGGCAAUCCCCCCUAAGAUUUCAAAUACAUUCUAGUUAAACCAAAUCCAUCCUUUAAAACCCCUCUGGCUGGCUGAUUGUAACUGUUAGGUCAUCUUUCUUAGUGGUUUUUCUUGAUUCCUUGCCAAUCUUUGUUGAGCAGCGUGUACUGUAUGUGGACAUUGACGUUCACCAUGGAGAUGGUGUUGAAGAAGCAUUCUAUACAACUGAUAGGGUGAUGACGGUGUCAUUCCACAAAUUCGGGGAUUUCUUUCCAGGAACUGGGCACAUUAGGGAUGUUGGUGCUGGGCAAGGGAAGAACUAUGCCCUGAACAUCCCAUUAAAUGAUGGACUGGAUGAUGAAAGUUUUAAGAGCCUGUUUCAGCCCAUAAUGCUCAAAGUUAUGGAGGUUUAUCAGCCUGAUGCUGUUGUUCUCCAAUGUGGAGCAGAUUCUUUGACGGGUGACAGGUUGGGUUGCUUCAACUUGUCCGUAAAGGGUCAUGCUGAGUGCCUCCGUUUUCUUAGGUCCUUCAACGUUCCUAUGAUGGUUUUAGGCGGUGGUGGGUAUACUAUUCGCAAUGUAGCUCGCUGUUGGUGUUACGAGGUAUGCCUGUGUUUAUCCCUUUGUCUUUCAUUUCUCGUCAAGUUCUUAAAAUUUCCUGUUACUUUUGGUGCCUUUGUUUCUGCAGACGGCAGUAGCAGUUGGAGUUGAACCUGAUAACAAGUUACCUUACAAUGAAUAUUAUGAGUACUUUGGCCCUGAUUAUACACUUCAUGUAGAGCCUUCGAAUAUAGAAAACCUAAACACGCCAAAAGACAUCGAGAAAAUUAGGUAAUGCUUUCUCUCAAAUUUUGUGAUGAUUAUUGAUCCAACUGGACAUCACAUAGAGCAAACACACCGUAUGAUAGAGAGGGAAUAUGGCUAUGUUAUAUUUCCUAUAAGUGUAUGAGUUCUACAUCCUAACAUCAUUUUCAUAUGAUUAAUAGUGAUUGACUAGAACCAGGGUUCCAUACUUCGGACGUGUUGCGCUUCUUCAAUGUCAAACUGUUACUUCUAUAUUCCAGAUUCCCUGUAGUUUACUGUUUGAUACUUUGAUAUAUGACUAGAAUUUCUCUGACUAACUUAGGCUCUAUUUUCAUCAUACUGAUCUCUCCGCUAGCUCUCAUUUUCAAUGUGAAGCGUAUGUGUACUACCUUUUGGAGAUAUUUGCGCUGCAUCAUAUAAAUAUUCUAUAUCUGCAAUGUUGCAAUUAGGGUAUCUUACUUGGCCAUAAUCAGUUGAAGUGAUUCAAGACAUGCUGAGUCCUCUCCCAGGAAUAUAAUUGUUGGUGCUUUGUAGAUAAAAAUGUAAAAAUUCAGAACUAACCACAUUAUCGGACACCAUUAGGUAGUCUAACAUGUUUACCCUCCUAACAAGCUAAAUUGGAAGAUUUGGGUUAGUUUUUCCAGGCGUAACUUCAAGCGAGAGAGCUAAAUUUCCUAUAAUUUUCGGAAAGCUGUAGAAUAUAACUCAUUGGUUAAGGAUGGCAGAAAUAGGUUGUGCAAAACUGAAGUCAGAUUCCCUGACUGUGGGUGAUCCAUGAUUCUAAUCUCUUUGCUGAAAUGUGCAUACUGAUGUUAGAGUUCCUAUUGUCUUUUGAUUCUGCUUACUUCAUGGUUAUACAUAUGAUAUAGUACAAUUGUUAUGUAGCUCUAUACUCUGAUAGUUAUGUCUUGAUCUUUUCAGGAACAUACUGCUGGAACAACUCUCUAGACUUCCUAAUUCACCAAGCGUGCCUUUCCAGAUGACACCAUCCGUGACUGAAGUUCCAGAAGAGGUAAGUUGAGGGUCAAAUACUUAAAUCUGAGUGUUUUUUUACUGUCUCGUUCUUAUCAGCGGGGUGUUGGUUAUAAAUCUGGUAGGAUGAAGAGGAGAUGGAUGAAAGAGAAAGACCUAGACCUCGUAUAUGGGGUGGGGAAGAGUACGACUCGGAUCGUGAAGAUGACAGCAAGCCUCACACUAGAAGUUUGAAUACGGAGGAUGAGUCUGUGCAGAAUGAUGAAACGAGGUAGGUAGGCAAUAGAAGAAAAUUGAACAUCUUGUUUACAGUUCCUCUUUCUAAUGCGUUGCAUUUGGUUGGUGUAGGGAUGGCACCGAUGAUAUGGACGAUGACAAACCAGAAGUCGAUAGUCGAUUUUGAUAUCUGUACGUGUAAACCAAUUUGCAGAAUCUGUCUCUCCCAUAACUUGUAGAGUUAGUCAUCUUCCCUGAAGGAAUGGAAACUGUUUCACCAGCGGGAGAGUUUAGAUGUUGAUGUAGUUGUAAUAUACAUUUACAUGCACAGUUUUAGAGUGCAGAAGCCAAGUACUUGGUACCAUUGUUCUGUGGACCUGAAAAGGAAGGUAUUUUAGAAUCUGAAUAGUGAGUCGAGUUCUUAUUAUUCUCGAGUAUAAUUACUCGUUCGAUUUGGCUCUUUCGUCGCAGAAGAAACGCUAAUUUUGUUAACUUCUUCGUCGUUACAAUUAGAAAUAAAGUAAAAAUCAUGUCAAGGUCGUGUUAGUUUGGAUCCAUGAUCCAUCUAUUGAUAAGCAAGAUUCAAUUAUCAAACUUUCCAGAGAAACAACCGCAGGAGAAGAACUUCCUCUGAUCAGGAUUGGCAAUGGAUGAUGAUGACGCCAUUCUUCUGUGAACACCAUCAGUUAAAGCCUUCCCUUUGUGAACCACGGUUACCUGGCAGUAAUCGGGCGCGUUCUUCUUGACGAAUUCUGCUUUCCCGACUCUCUUGAUCAACCUGGAGCGUGGAAGAGGAGGAGGCUUUGCGCCGAGGACGAGAUUGGUGAUGUUGAGAACAGGGAUUAGAUCAAGUAUGGCUUUCCCAGUUUCGGCGCUCUCCAGCAACAUGGUGUCUACUGGAACCUUGGCAUCAUCACAGAAGCGAAUGUAUUUGUGCAACAGAUUCCUCCUCCUGUUGUUCUCCUCGUUGGAGUAAAACCUCAACUGGUCUUUGCUCAGCUGGUUCUUCGCCAAUCUUCCAACUGCAAAAAUUACAUUUAGCUUUAACUUCUGCUUCUGCAAAGAAUUGACAAGGAAAGAAUGAAACAGUACCUGGAGUGGAGAUGUAGCGGAGGGGAGGGAAGACGUGGACGAGGAACAAACGAGAGGGAGGGGAAGAGAUAUGAUCGACGGCCCAUUUGACAGCAUCCAUGUCAUCUCUCCCCACACAAACAUAUACAUCAUUGAUCACUAUCCCACUACUACUGUUGUUGUUGAUAUUGUUGUCAUCGAAAUCAACGAUCUCCACAAUUUCAGACGACAUCACCCUUGAUUUACUAUACUGGAACGAGCUGCUGCUGCUGCUCCCCGUCGCCGGCGACUGUCCUUCGAUUUCCAUAUCCUACGUACGACAAGAGAGGAAGGAAGAACACAACAGAGGGUCUGGAAGUGAAGAUAACAAUGGGGGGAAAAGGGAGUGUAAUGGUAAUCGUUGGUCUGAAAGGCACAUGGAGAAAGAGAGUAAGAAUGGACCAAUAUAUUCUCUGUUUUGUCUCUCCAUGGUUAUCGUUGAAAGCUAUUGGCCACUAUCACCCUCUUUCAUCUUUUUCGUCAUUUUCAUAUUUUGUGUUUUCUUGUCUAAGUGUUUUUUUAUAAGUAACUUUUCUUCCACGGAUUCAUGAUCAAAAUAUAUAUUCAAUCAGAUUUAAAUUAAAAUUUGUGUAUCGAAUAUUCAAUUUACGAAUAUAUACUUUUUAAAACUUAAUACUAAAUUAAAAUAUACAAAUGUAAGUCUUUCAAUCUUUUGACGUGAAGAAAACUCAUUUUUUAGAAACUAAUAUAGUGAUACCGGUAUUUACAGUAUUUGAAACUUUUAAAAAGUUGGUAUCUUUUGGGAUAACAUAGUUAGGGUUGUCAAAUUCGAAUUCGAUUAUAGAUUGCUUGAUAACUGAUUCUCGUAACAUAUUAAUUAUUUGAGAUAGCGUAGGAAUAGCGGUAAGAUGAAAUAAUCACACCUUACCACGUAAUUAUGACACCUUGUAACGUAGUUAUAAAAUAAAAAUAACUAGCUAUAAUUUUAAAUAACUAGUUAUAAUUCGAUGAAUUUCGGUUAUUUUCCGGCAAAAAAAAAUUAUAAAAACUAGUAGUUAUUUACUUACAUCUUCUCCAGCGACUCGUGUUUCUUCCCCCAUGGUAACUGGUUUCAGCAGCGAGGAACAGGCUCCGAGAAGAAUUCGUGUUCAGAGAAACAGCUUCUCAAGUGUGUGUGAUGUGAAUUGUGAUAACCAUCAACAUCCCAGAAACUGAGAUGACCAAGGUAGUUGUUGACCAAAGAAUCUAGUUGUGAAUUGUAAUUCAUGAAAUCUCAUUUUAGUUGGACUCGAUUAACAGAACAGAUUAAUGUAAAUGGUAGUGGGGCGCCGUAGUAGUGGACCAUUAUUCCACUACAGGUAUAUCAGAUAAGACACAGGACCGACUAUCCAUCCUCUUCUGGAGGAUGAUCAUAGGCCGAAAAUGCUGAGGCUGCCACGCUAAAAGUUGGUGGAGUAAAAAGCAAAACGACUUUGUGGUGCCAUUACAAGAUUUUGUGGAUCAUAUUUUCCAUCAAAAUGUUUGGUCCAGCUGAACAAGUUUCCCUUCCUCCUUAAUGGAAGUAAAAAUCAUGGAGCUGCUGAAACAUCUAAGGCUUCGAAAUGACUGGCGAAUCGUUGAUCUUGGAUAUGGCAGCAGCACCCAACCAAACGAAGAGCCUGUAGAUAGUGAUCUUCUGUUCUAUAUAGAGUAUAUGGUCAAACAUCAAUUCUCUCUAGCAUACCUGUUAAGAGAGUAUGGCGAGAAGAGCAAUUGUGCUUAGAGCUCUGCAAGUGCUUAUGAUCUUAAUAUCUUCUGCAUGGGUUGCCAUAUGGGUUCUGAAGCCAACCAGAUUCUGGACCAAAACUUGGAAAGUUGCUGAAGAUCGUUGGAGGCUCCUGCUACUUGGAUAUUAUGGUUUGUUCUUCAUAUGUUUCUUAUCUCAUCCCUUUACUUCAAAAAAUUCAAUGCUAUAUAUCAUUGCUGUAACUUUUUAUGCUUCCUCAGAUGGCAACUAAGUACCUAAGAGUGGCGACCCGAUUCGGGUUACUAGCAGAAGCAUGUCUAGCGCUGCUUCUGCUACCUGUUCUGAGAGGGUUCGCCUUAUUUCGGUUAAUCGGAAUCCAGUUUGAGGCUUCAGUAAGGUAUCACAUCUGGCUUGGAACUGCAAUGGUACUCUUUGCCACUGUACAUGGAGUAAGCACCCUGUUCAUCUGGGGUGUCAGCCACCAUGUUCAACAAGAGGUCCAUUCUGAAACCAGAAAAAAGGAAGUCGUUUCAUAUAUCACAUAGUUUUACAUAUAGUCUGGAACGUUAUUAUAUUAUGUUCAUGUUUUGGCUUGAAGUAAUAACAGAUGUGGAGAUGGCAGAAGACUGGAAGGGUAUAUUUGGCAGGGGACACUUGUUGCAGCACUGGUGAUGUGGAUCACAUCAUUUCCCCAAAUAAGGAGGAGAAGAUUUGAAAUCUUCUACUACACGCACCAUCUUUACGUUGUGUUCUUCGUGUUCUUCCUGUUUCAUGCUGGGGACAGGCAUUUCUAUGCUGUUUUGCCAGGUGUAUUCCUCUUUGGCCUCGACAAGUUGCUCCGGAUUAUGCAGUCGAGGCCGCAAACUUGCAUCCUCUCGGCACGUUUGUUCCCCAACAGAGCCAUAGAGCUCAUCCUGCCUAAAGAUCCCAGUAAGUAAUGUUGAUGAAUAAUAUAAAAAUCAUUUGCUAGUUUUGAGGCGAGAGUCCAAGAUAAGUGAGUUAGAUAGCGGAGAGAGGGUUGAUUACUGGUUGGUUGAUGUAGCGCCUCUAGUUCCUCGGUUAUCAUUGCGAUUUUUCAGUAUUAGGAUGCUCGUUGUUUGCUUUGUAAACCCAUGCAGGAAGAGUGUUGUGUCGGGGAUAAUCCGACGAUGAAUGAUUUCAUUUGGGGAAAGUAGUAUGUUGGUGAUCAUCGUUAUGUACUAGGUUCAAAUUUGAACUUGGUUAUUUCAUGGUCUUGAAACAUCAAACGAGAUUUAGUAAUCCGUUAAUGCUCUCCGGGAAGCAGAAAUUGUUGUAGUUCAUCUUUUCUGGCAAUGUUUUUCCCCCAUUUUGGUGAGCUUGCAUGAUUUCUUUUGCCAUGAUAUCAUCUCACGGGAUUUUGAUGCUCAAUUUUCCUUUUGGAUGUAGGAUGGAAUUAAAUUGUUAAAUACAUGGUUAGAAGGUGAAAGAUCGAUAAGAUUUUGCAAUUACCUCUCGGAGAGCACCAUGAAGCUCAAUCCAGAUGAAAUACCUCACGGUAACAUACAUGCCAUAUUUUAGUUUUUUUGUUGCAUUUGCUGUAAUUUCAUGGCUGAUUUCCCGUGGUGCAAGGAUUGAACAAUCAUUGAAUGAUUUAUGCAGCUGAAACAUGGCCUUACCUGAUUACAUUGCUCCUCCAGUGCGUGUCGUUAGAAAUAUCAUCAAGCAAAAAGCGUUUCCCAAAGUCGACGUACGCAAAAACACUACGCAUUGUCGUCCAGCGAUCAGAAGAUGUUAAAUUCUCAGGUUUGUUCAUGGUUCCUCUGAUUGAUCAAUUGAUCACAUGGGCACAAUUUAAUGUGAGGAGAUGAAUGUGUUGCUAUACUGAUAAUAAUAGUGCUUAAGAAGUAUGUUGUAAGUUAUGAGCAUACAAAGGUAUUCCAUUUGAAUUAUCCAACUGUCGCCCCCACUAUUUGUGAUUUACUUUUUCAUCUACUUUCAGGCAAGAUGCCAGUUCUGCUACCGGUGGUUAAAACCCUUUUUAAUCACCUUUGGGAUGUACUAAGCAGUGUUCCAAGCUUUCAGGCAGAAUAUGGAAUUAUUCUUCGUCUUCUAUUAAGCAUUGGAGACUAUAGGUUUCACUUGAGGAAAAAAAUUUAUUCUAGUAAGUCCUUUCUCAAUUCACAUUAUUCGUGUAGGUCAUACUGUUGCUUGCUUUUUGGUUAGCAUAUCUAACUCUAAAUUUUGAAGGCCUGAUCCAUUUCUACAUUGAGAGGGUGGAAACAACUUUAAGCGAGGAAAAUGAUAGCCACUCUGUUCCAAGGGAGGAGGUUUUCCGUUGCAUUACGACUCUACAUUCCCUUCUUGAGAAUCCUCCAGGUGACUUGGCAAAUGAUGUUAGAGGGGAUAUUGCUAAAGGGUUGGUUCAGAUGUUCUCCUCUGUAAGGUAAACUAUUGUACUUGAACAACUGGCACUUCUUUUUCCUUUCUUAUUUACUUUUAGCUGUCUUGUUGAUUGAAUACCUUUGUUCUGAUAGUUGCUCAUCAUUAUUAAUGAAAGGUAUUUCACCUGCAAAUUUAUCUGGGAGGAAAGCAAAAUAUCACGCAAGCUUAUGGAAUGUGUUAAUGUGUAUUUGUUGAACAAUGGCCCUAACUUGAGCUGGGAAUCCUUAGAGAUUCAUAGUGCUGUGCGCAAUUUUGUAUUCCGUUGUUGGCUUACUACACGAGAUCAUGGCCUCGAGGUUUUCUGAGUACUUGUACUAUUUUUGUUGCUACAUGUCCUACUUACGUGGUCUUAUUUGCUUGUCCGUCUGUCCUUAUAUACUGAUUUUUUAAAACUUUUAUGUUCACUUGUGACCUCAGGAUACUCUUAUAUUGUAUUCAAGAUUACAGCUAAACUUAAAGUCGGGGUGAUCUUGAAGGAAGUUCUUUGGUAGACGAACUUCUGGAUGUGAUAUGCAAAGAAUUAGAUCAAGUUAGCCUGCCAAUUGUAGGGGUGUCAUGGUGAGUAAAGUAACUUCUCUGUCUGGCUGUGCAGCUUGCAAGUAGUUUCUUAUCCUGUUUAUGAUGUUGCUUAUGAGCUUAGGACAGAAGCAAUGAAGGAUGAUAAAUGUGAAGUCUUAAGUGGAUCACAGUAUUGCUUGGUGGAACUUUCAGCUCUGGUGUUAUAUCGGGUACACAACUUGCAUCCUAAUGAUUUGCUAUGUUCAUUUACUUUCUUUCGCCAAUCCUACACCUUGCAGUCUACCUAUGGUGUCAGGGAACUUAAAUCAUUCUAACUGUUUCUCUUGACUGUUGUGUUGCAGUUGUAUACUACAUAACUAACUUGGGAUUUUGCGGAUGUUAUUGAGGGAAUCACUGCCUAAGUAGGAGUCUGAGAUAUUAUGCAUUACAUAACUAACUCUAUGGUUUCAAACCUCAGGCUUGUGUUAGUACAGUUAGAGCUCCAGUAGCUGAAAAGCGUGUAAAGAGGGAGCACAUUUGUGUAAUUGUAAAGGAAGCACUUGCAGGGGGGAAAUGGUUAUGGUAAGUUUACACUCCCUGGAAUUAAGUGGGCAGAUCUUUUCAUUAAAUGGUUCGAAGGGAUCUCAUUGAACUUUGAAAGGUAAUGCGAUUGUUUGAUUGUGUAGUCCUUUUUUAACUUUUGUUUGUAUAUUGUCUUGGCAUUGCAAGAAAACUGAGAGGGUGUGGAUUUCUAUGAAAUUCUGAAUACAGUCGACCGAGAAGACUCUACCAUGUGCUUCCUUAUGAAUAAUAUGCUUUCUAAUGGCAGUGACGCAGCAUACUAAUGUAGUAUUUUGGUGAUGGAUGAUGAACUUUUUCAGGUUGGUUACGUUGUUGGGCUCGGUGACCGACAUUCGAUGAACAUCUUACUUGAUCAGGCUACCGCUGAAGGCCGGCAGGUUCCCUUCAGACUUACAAGAGAUGUCAUCGAUGGAAUGGGUGUUACAGGAGUUGAAGGUGUUUUCCGCAGAUGUUGUGAAGAAAGCGCACGAAUAAAGAAGCAUGUUUCUCAAGAGGAUGAAAUAAUCCAUGUUUCAGGUGUUUAUUCAUGAUCCUUUGUAUAAAUGGGCGUUGUCUCCUCUGAAAGCCUUACAACGGCAAAAGGUGAAGAGUUUGCAUCCAAAUGUAAAAUCGAAAAGGAUGAUGCUUUGUGUGAUCUGAUACUGUCUUAUCAUCAUCAUUAUUGUAUAGGAUACGGAUUAUGAUCUGGAGACGAGUAUGGAAGACUCCGAUGAUCGAAGCGAGGGGAACAAGGAUGCGACGCGGGCGCUACUGCGAGUGAAGCAAAAGCUAGAUGGCUACGAAGAAGGGGAGCUGAGAAGUGUGAAUGGACAGGUAACAAAGAAACGAUCAUUGGUUUAAGUGACAAAUUCCAAAGGUGCAGAGUUGUAGCGGUUUGAUUGAUGAGUAUUUGGUUUGUGUUUGAUGGCAGGUUCAGCAACUGAUUCAAGACGCUAUUGAUUCGGAGCGUCUGUGCCAAAUGUUUCCAUUGAAGGAACUUUACUUGGACAAUUACUAAGGCCACGGUUGUGGGACAGGUGGAGGAAAGACUUUACGUGAAAGGAAUUAUUAUUAUGGGAAAAUGAAUGAGGACAAAUAUAUAGAUAGAGUCUGGGAUUAGAAGGCACAUGGACCCAUGAUUGCGAGAUGACAGAUAUGCCCCUGGCCUUGCUCUCACUUGCUUCUCUCCUCAACAACUACUGAGCAGGUUUGGAAUUCAGGUAAAAAGAAUUUUCAGAAUUUUCAAAAUAUUUUUAAAUCGUUAAAUUUUAUGAGUUUUAGGUCUAAUGAUUUGUAUAAAAAGGUAAGGAAGUUUUUUGAAUAAAAAUUAUUUAAUUUGUUAUUUAUUUUGGUUUGAGUUUGGAUUUAGUGUUUCGAUUAUGGGUUUAAUAUUAAAAUUAUAAUUUUUAUUUUUGAUUUUGAAUUUUAAAAUUUAAAUUUACAUUUAGAUUUUAUUAUUCUCUUGUGAAACCAGUACUGCAAAAGCCAGCCUAAACAACCGUCUAGGAUCUUUUCAUUAUACUCAAAAGUUUGUUCAUAAUUUCUAAUCAUCAUAACUCCGUUAUCAAAUGAAUAAUUUUCUUUUUGAUAUGUCUUUUGCGUUGUGUCGUUUUUAUGUGUUGUGAACAAAGACAAUGUCCAAAUUAUAAGCCACUUAGUUUGCAUAUAUAACUUUUUAAAAUAAUUAAAUCGUAAACUAAUCUUUAUCAAUAUUCCGACCCUUUAUUUAUCAGAAAAAUCAACCCAUCUAAUUUCGAGCCAACUAACCAAGACCGCAAAGUCGGCCCACCGGCUCUGUCUGCCCUCCACCCACCCGGCCCAUCCUUUUUGUCCUGUAGUACCCUACACGCCUCCCCCGCCCCGCUAUAAAUUCUGCUCCAAAUUACUUGCUCUGCGGUUUGACAAUAACUACAGACAAACAAACUAAUUGCCCGAAUCCAUGGUGUGCGAGAGUGAACCGGAGAUGAAAACUACUCCCGCCGCAGCGUCCACCAACACUAUUAUUAAGUUCCUAUGUAGCUACGGAGGGAAGAUCGUUCCUCGUUCUAGCGACGGCAAGCUUCGUUACCGCGGCGGACUCACAAGAGUGUUUGCUGUCCAUCGUUCCGUUUCUUUUUCCGGUACGUUCAUCUUUUUCUUGCCUUGGUUGAAUGCGAUCGGAAGUUAGUUAUCUCAUGAUCUAAUCGAGUUUCAACGAACUUGUUUAUUUUGUUCAUUUACAGAGCUGAUGGUCAAGCUGGGGGAGUUCUGUGGUGCUCAGUCGUCCGUCGAAUUGAAGUGUCAACUGCCUAACGGAGAUUUGGAGACUUUGAUCUCAAUCAAGUCCGACGAGGAAUUGGCCAACCUUUUCCAAGAAUAUGACCGUUGUUGCCCCGGAUCCAAAAUUAGAGCGGUCCUGUCCCUGCUCAAACCGGUGUCGUCAUCUCCUACUCAAUCGGAGACAGCAACGAGCAAUGAUUCCUCUCCUUGCAGUACCCCUGAAUACUUCCGCCCAUCGGCUUGCGGCUUUCACUCCCCGACGUUUGGUUACCGGGCCGGCUUCUAUGGAGCUUCCGUCCAAAGCGGCCACUACAGCCCACAGCAUCCAAUCGGAAUUGGACAGCAGCGGAAAGUGGUCGGGCGUCGCUACAGGAUUUGGAACUAAAUCGAACGGAGACAGAAUCAAUGAAUCCAAAUUUAGUUUGUUAGGUUAUACGAACUAGAAACCAAUACAAUCAUAAUGGCGAUGAUGACGAAAGAGCAGACAAAACUUUUCCUCUUCUUUCUUUUAUUCUUUUCGGUUCCAUGUGUGCGAUUGGUCUACGGGGAAUUCGCCAGAAUCAUUCCGAGGAACGGAACUUAUCCUUUUUUAAAGUCUCCGGCGCCGGACUUGAAUCCUCAAAUUUCCCCGGCGUCGAUGGUGAAUUCGGUACCGUACAGGUUCUUUUUCGUAAUUCCUGUAUAUACGUUCCGUCGGCGAUGGCUGGUUUGUUGUGGUGUGGUACGUGUGACACGUAUGGGGUGGCGGUGGUUUGUUCGGAAGACACGUACCGGCUUGUCAGCAGUUUCGUUUGUUGGCUUGUUAAAUUUGUUCAUGAAUCUGUCUUUGUUUGCAUUCCUUUCCUUGUGAUUUAUUCACUGUUUCUGAACGUCACUGACUCUUGCUUGUGUUUGAAUUUGGUUGCAGGUGGGGAAGAAGGUGGAACUAAUUAAUUAUCUGGAGGGAAUCGGAAUAAAAAUCGUAAUCAAUCACAUGAUUUAAUGUAAUGGUUGCCAACUAACAAUAGCUUACCAAAAAGAUCAAGUUCAUGAAUUACCAUUGGUUCUGGACACAUCAUCUGUUGGGGGGCUGGAACUGCUGGCUUAGGGAAUGGCAGCUCAUGUUAUCUAGUCCAGAGAUGAAAGAUUUGACAGUCCAUGUACAAACCUUCCCAAACUCUUAACUACAGCUCAUGUUCGGCUCCUACGGAAGUUAGGUCUUAGAAUAAUAGGGACCAAUUUCAGCAAAGGUGACGCGAAUCGAUAACAUCGUCUUUUGAGGGUCGUAUUUGCCAUUCGAACCCACGAGAAAACCAUGCAACCUCUAUCUAGCAUCACUCGCUUAAGCCAAUCGACGAGCACAACAUGCUUGUAGCUUGACCCCUCGCGAGAAGCCUCGGUCACAACUGCAAGGGAGCAUGGCCGCAAGCAAGGCAUGUUUGUGGUCUCAGCCUCAAAAGCUUACGUUUCACUAUUAAGUUUACUGCUGUUAUAGAAAAUUUCCAGUUCGAGCAUUUAGACUAUCAAAAUAUUCAAACCAAGAAAGGGACUUGAUUGUAUUCCAUUCUAUAUUGCAUACCACUAUUCGGCUUCGAUCAGUACGAGAAUUUGUCUAAAGCUCUUCGACAUUCAAGGUGGACAUUUUAGCAGUACAUACAUACAAUUGCUGCAUCAAAAAAACUAUCAAAAUCGAAGAAAAUGCAUCUUCUCUGUUCCGCCCCUUCAACAAAAGUGGACAAUUUGUUCCGACUCAUUGUUCGAUCCUGCUGCAAAGCUACAGGGUGAAAAGGGGAGCUCAGGUAGUAGGAUUUUGGUUAAAGUAAUGGAAGCUGCAAGUUACUCUGUAAAGGACGAAGAUUUAUGAAACCAAUUUCACUGUUCAUUCGUUUUGCAGGAUGCUCACUUGCUACUCCCCGAGAACUCAACUGAUAAAUGUGACACAACCACACAACUCAUCCCUACUUAACAUAACGAAAUUGUACACAUGAGAAACGCGACGAUAUAUAUAUAUACGUAUAAGAAGAUUUCACUUGCAAACCCUGAGUCAUUUACAAAAUACAUCUACUCCAGCUGAUCAUAUCAUAAGUGAACACAAGUAUAUCCAACAGUCUACAUCUCGAUGUUCAGUGAGGUUUCAUUUGAAAUAUACUGACGCAACAUUUAAGUUUCUACUACAGGAACAACAUAGUAGCCAAAAGUGUCAGAUUAACGUACGGAUUUGUUCGGAUUUCGUAAAUUGUUAGCCAGUUUCUUGCUCGAACUCUUCCCCUUCAGAUUCAUCAGCAUUGUCGGCAUCAUCAUCAUCUGGAUCGUUGUCAUCGUCCUCUUUAUCAUUGUCCGUAGUGGUUUUCCCAAUCACAAUCAAGUUGCUGUUAGUCUUCUGGAUUUCAUUCAACUGCAAACCGCCAACGAUGAAACAAACACUAGAAACGCUUUAGAAACUGGAAAAUUACGCCAGGUAACAAUGCCAUUUUCAUCACAAUCACAAGCAAACAACAUAGAUUCAGCACUUGUGUUUCCUUUUCACUCUCGUUUUAUUUGGACCGAGCAAAACAAAUUGGCAACUGGGGCAAGCAAUACACAUAAUUGUGAAUCAACUGAACAUUGGAAAUGAAAGAAAUCUAAAGAAUUGACAUAUUGAUUUGGCGUCUAGGGUUCGUUACCCGAUCCUCGUAAGCGUCCUCUUCCAUGGCGAGAAUCUGCUCUGCGGUAAGGGGGUGGGGCGACGGCUGCGAGGACAUGAGGUUGGAGGCUGGGAUCGUCCUGGUGGACCAUGGGUACUGCGUCAUGAAAGCUGGAAACUGCAACAUUAUUUUCACCUCACGCUCUGCAGUGCACUGACACUGAGGCUUAUCUGCUCUUCUUUCUUUGUUUUGAUGCAAAAUCGAAGUCGGAGUUUGUGAAGUGAAAAUUACAGAUGGAGCCCAUUAGCAGUAACGGGUUGUUGAACUCGACAUCGACGCUUCCGUACUUUGGUCCACGUACAUUUUUUGCUGGGCUUGGACCUUGGAUAGCAAUUGCCGCAAUAGAAUCGGAAAGAACCUUGAUUUGUCGAUUACUCAAAGACCAAGCGAGUUGAAGACUAUCAAUACUCGCAUGCAUCUCAACGCGGGUAACUGAAGAAAUUCCAAAGUUAGCCGUAAACGCCUUCACAAAGGAUAUUCUCGGUCGAUCUGGAUAACACCCUUAGCUGUUGCAUCCCAUGUGGGGAGCGAAGUGACUCAUCGGUAUUAAUAGUACGUCAACCCUACGACCGUCACCCAAUCAAUUGGGUCUGCCGUGCCAAACUCGACACUUCUACCUAUUGAUUGAUAUUUGUCCCUUUUUUCCUCAAUUCUAACAAAAAAAUAAGCUAUUUAUCAUUCGCUGCUAAUAGAUCGAAUCUUCAUAUUUGAGUUGUAACCUAAUAUUUGUGGGAGUAGUAUUCAAGCUUGUGUCCUAUUUGGCAUUACCCAGACCACAGAGUGGCAACUAGAAGUAACCACUCUUUUUUCUGGUUUUCUUAUCUUUCAACCCACUUUCAGUGUCGUAUAACUUACUUUCUUUUCCCCAUGUGAUUCUGCUGCUUGCAGGUGAGGAAGGCCAAAGGCAGAUUCUAUGCUUCUUAUAUGUCGGCGACGGAUGCUUCUGUCGCUGCAACAAUGCAUAAUUGCAUAUGGUUCUAACGUCACAGAAAAGCAAGAAGCUAACGGUGGUCAGAUUAAUGCUUGAAAGGCAAAGUUUGGUGGAAGGAUCUUCAAUAUAUAUGUAUAGACCAUCCGAUCUAAGAGUUGAGUCAUUUGACUCAUCUAAAACCAGCAAUAAACCACAUCAUUAAUAUACCACUAUUCGAAAAGCCAGAGCAGCAGCAUGUGUAUCUGCAGUCAACCAUGGUCUAAAGCCAGAGCAGCAGCAUCAUAAGUUACUUGCUUUACUGCAGCAGCUAGUCGGCUGACGAAAUCAACCACUAUUCGGAACAUCAGGGAAAUGAUCACAGAAUCACAAGAAUUUCGAUCUAGGAACUAUCAAUCAUGGAAAUCUGCAAAGGAGAGAACAAGGCUGCAAAAAAAUAAUAUAUGACAAUUCCGCUUUCUCAAAAGUUGUUCAGGAAAUGAUCAAACUGAUUGCAUACACCAAAAGGAUACAAAUGAUUUUGAGACCCCCUUUAUAAGUUCAAAUCCGAUUCCAACUUCCAAAAUUACUGGUGGUUACUACUCAAGGAUCUUGCCAAUGACACCAGCUCCUACAGUCUUGCCACCUUCUCUGAUAGCAAACCUCAUCCCAGACUCACAAGCAACAGGCAUAAUGAGCUCCACCACCAUCUUCACUCGAUCCCCGGGCAUAACCAUCUUCGACUCCUCGUCCUUAUCGUUCAUAAUCUGAGUAACUUUCCCAGUCACAUCAGUAGUCCUCAUGUAGAACUGCGGCCUGUACCCUGCGAAAAACGGCGAAUGCCUCCCUCCUUCAUCCUUCUUCAAAACAUACACAACAGCUUCGAAUUUGGUAUGGGGAGUGAUCGUCCCUGGUUUAGCCAACACCAUCCCUCUCUGGAUAUCAGCCUUCUGGAAACCUCUCAGCAACAACCCCACAUUGUCACCAGCCAUAGCCUCGUCCAAAAUCUUAUGGAAGAACUCAACUCCAGUGACGGUAGUCGUCCUGGUAUCUCUCAAACCAACAAGGUCGACUGUAUCACCAAUCUUGAUUGUACCUCUUUCAACCCUACCAGUAGCAACAGUACCACGACCAGUAAUUGAGAACACAUCUUCAAUAGCAAGCAAGAAAGGCAAAUCCACCAUUCGUUGCGGGACUGGAAUGUAGCUAUCAACAUUAUCCAUCAGCUCGUAGAUUUUGUCAACCCAUUCAUUCUCACCUCUUUUGAUGGCUGGAUUGGCCAUCAAGGCCUCCAAGGCCAAAAGAGCAGAUCCGGAUAUAAUCGGGAUAUCAUCUCCAGGGAAUUCGUAAGACGAUAACAAUUCACGCACCUCCAAUUCCACCAAUUGAAGAAGCUCCUCGUCGUCCACCUGGUCCUGCUUGUUCAUGAACACCACCAUGUUUGGGACGCCGACCUGCUUCGCCAGCAGGAUGUGCUCCUUGGUCUGCGGCAUGGGCCCAUCGGCGCCGGAGACGACGAGGAUUGCGCCGUCCAUCUGUGCCGCUCCGGUAAUCAUGUUCUUGACGUAGUCAGCGUGGCCGGGGCAGUCCACGUGGGCGUAGUGGCGGUUCUCGGUUUCGUACUCGACGGUGGCGGUGUUGAUUGUGAUACCGCGGGCGCGUUCUUCCGGGGCGGCGUCGAUUUCGUCGUACUUCUUGGGAGCGCUGUUCCCCAUGGAGGCGAGGGCCAUGGUGAGGGCGGCGGUUAGGGUUGUCUUGCCGUGGUCGACGUGGCCAAUUGUGCCGAUGUUGAGAUGGGGCUUGUUACGCUCGAACUUGCCCUUAGCAGCUCUGACUGUGAAGGAGGAAGGAGCGCCGCGGCGGCGGCGGAGGGGGGAGGCGGAAUUGGAGAGGAAAGGAGAGGUGAAGGAGGAAGAGAGAAGGGUCAAUUUGGUAGGUUUGGAAUGGACGGUGACAGUAUUACCGGAAGAGGAGGAGGUGGAGGAGGCAGCAGCUGAUGGGUAGACGGCGAACCUGGAGGAAGUAGAGGCGGCGGCAGAAGCGGAGAUUGCCAUGUCGGAUACAAGCGGAGGAGGAGUGGAGAGGAUUGGGUUUGUUAUCUGGUUCUUGAACUUGGGGCGUACAAUGGGAUUUGGCUAUUUGCUUUGUUUUUCUUUUUUGUGAUUGAAUUUCGGUCAUUCUUCGACUCAGAUUCGCACACGUGGACUAAUGAAGCCGUCAACAAUUUUUUUGACGUGAACUCUCGUAUUCGACUCAUUCAUCGAUUAAUCCAAUCAAAAAAUUGUCUCGAGAUUAAAAUAUUUCUCUUAUUGUAAAAGAUUGAGCCUUAAUCCACCUUUUAAGUGCAACCACUGACACUACAAUUCUCGUCAACAAUUGCUAAACCUUCCUUCUUUCAAAUUUUCGAGUUAUAAAGCUAGUCUUGGUACAAGGCUUGGGCUAUUUCCUCUCCAUGAGAUUAUUAUGCCAGUUAAUAGUACGGCCAACAAUGCAUUAACGAAUGAGACGCUUAAUCACUUGUUGUUCUCAUGUCCUGACCCUGUGUUUAUUUCAUCGGUCGAGCCAUGCAAAUGUGAAUCUUUCUCAUCCCUCUCUCACCAUAGUAUUGCCUUUCGACAUUAUACCCAUCAUGUAAACUCGAUUUUGCUCACUUAUCGGGGUAAUUAUUUCGUCCAUUCAGUAACAUGAGAGGCAAAAAAAAAUUUCAUUAUCCUAACUAGAAAAGGAGCUAGAUAGUAUUUAGAAGGGGCCUGGCCCUGUCCGGGCUGUAGCGCAUGAAAUAUUUUAUAUAUAUUAAAGUUUUCGAAUGAGUAAAAAUAAAAAGAAAAUCAACAUAAUGCAAGAAUUUUAUGUUUGGUGUGAUGGUUGAAUGUUCUACUUUAAAAAAAUAAAUAUGGAGUUCAAAUUCAUCAAAUAGAAAAAUCAGCUGUAGAGGUUGGUUUGAUGGGGGAAUUGAGUGGGUAGUUUGGAUUUUAAAUUUUAAAAUUAGAAAUUUUGCUAAAUAAAUCGUUUGGAUUAGAAUUAAUGGGUGGAGAAUGUUAGAGAAUUGAAUUAUUGAUGUGGACUUUUAGAAAUUUUGAGAUCAUAUUAAAAUCACUAAUUUGAGGAGGAAAUUUUGAGAUAAUUCAUUUCAUUUCAUUUUAUUUUUGAAACCCAAAAUCCAACUAAACCUAAAAUUUAAAAUCAAAAUUCAAAAACUCAAUACUCUAAACUCUAUAAACCUUAAAUUUGAAACUCGAAAUCUAAAAUCCAAAAUUGAAAACCCAAUAUUCUAAACCCUUAAUACUUAAAAUCAAAACUCAAAAUUCAAAAUUCAAAAUUCAAAAUCCAAUACUCUAAACUCUAAAUUCUAAACCUUACAAUCCAUCCCAAAACCAAAAUCCAAAACUAACCCAAACUCAAACCUCAAACAAAUUAAAAAAAUAGGUGUGGGUCUUGAAAAAAUGCCCUCAACCCUUGGAUCUCUGAAGUCAAACUGUGACCGUUGGAUUGUGUCAUCAGCACCUGCUCAUAAUUCACAAUUCAGCACCCAAGCUAUUUUGCAAGACUAUAGUUUAUAACAUAUAUUAUACCAAUUAUUGGAUCCACGUGUUGGUGACUCGGUGGACAGCUACACGCACCAUAAAUAAAAAGACAGUUCCAUGAUUCCAUCUCAUUGUUAAAUAAUUUAAAUCUUAUUAUUAUUUAGUAUAUGAUGACAACACCAUGAUAUUAAAAAUAAUAUUAAACAACCGCCAUUGAUAUGAUUCUCGCUCUUCUCUCAGGUACCGCUCUCUGUUCCAGAACCAAAAAAGCAGGACACCGCACGUCCAUGGCGAAGCGCCUUCGGCCACUCGCCAAAAUCUGCAAUCACAAGCAGGCUGCAAAACCCCCCAACUGACUCCCUCCAGUACUAAAAAAAACAUAUCACAAAUACAGUCAAAAUCCCCAUGGACGUACGCUCAACUCAAACCCUACACAGCUAACUGAUGCCUCUUCCUCUCAGAUCUGAAUCGAAACAACCAUCCAAUCAAUCACAGACACACAUCUGUAAGCAUCUUAUGGAGUUUCUUUGUUCGGUUCUCCAAAGUGAACUCAUCCUCUCAUCGCCAAUUGCCCAAUUCCAAUGGCUUAGCAGCCAUUUAUCGACAGGUUUUCCCAACACGAAGAAAAUAAGGAUUCGGAAGUCGAUCUAAUUAAGUAAUAGACGACGGACUAGCAGUUUUAAGCAACGGCAACCGUGCCAGUCCGUACAGCUUUGGUGGAAGCAGAAGAUGGAGAAGUAACCGCAGAUCUAGUACUACUAUUAGCAGAGGAAGAAGGAAGAAGCGACUUCUUCUUCUUCUUCUUCCAGGCCGUCGCUGUCAUCAUCUCGCUGGAUUCGUCAACCUCUAUUUGCUCCUGCCUGCACUCCUUGCUACAGAAAGGAGUAUUCCCUCUGGCACAAGCCAAAACCCAACAAAAAAAAAAAGCGGAAAGAAAUCAGAAGGGCGAAAAAAUUCAGAAAAGCUAUAGAUCAACAGAGAAGUAGAAUUAUACCUGUACAUGAAGAUGUCGGAGUUGGAAGGGAGAGGUUUGUGGCAGAGGAAACAUGCAUCAAGGAAGUGAGGCUGCUGCUGCAACCUUUCGCCGGAUCCGUAAGAGUAGCCCAGAUACAUGAUGGCGAUGAAGGAAUUGGAAGGAAGAGCAGAGUAGAUCGGAGUUUGGGUUCUUCUGAACAAGUUUAAGGGAGAAUUUGGAGGAGCGAAGGGGGAGGGAAGGAAGUAGCUCAUCUGCGUAUGCGUUAUAUAUAUAAAAAAUUAACAUAAGGUGGGCGGCAGCAGCAGCAGCCAGAAAGGCAGAAACCACCCCACUGCCUUGAUAAAAACAAUAAUAAAUAAACUGUGUCAUGGUUUUAGCUAUUUAUUUUAUUGAAAAACAAUGAAGUUGAUGGUUUUACUGCGGUUUAUAUUUAUAUUUUAUAUUAAAUUUUAAUUGAUAAAACAUUUUGAAUUUGGACCGUUUUAAUAAAUAUAUUUUUUCAUUAAAAAUUUGUUUAUUAUAUUAAUUGUAUACGUCUUAUAAACUUAUCUAUCAACGUGUCAUAAUUAUUUGUUGAUUGUAAUUCUAUUAAAGUCAAAAUUAUUAUUUUUAGAUAAACUCAAAAUGCCUAAGUUGCUAUUUUUUAAAAUUUAUGAAUUUAUGAUUUAAAUAAAAAUAGAUAUAAAAUUUUUAGUUUUUAAUUUCAUAUUUUGAGUCGAACGGAACUCAUUCAGUAGAUGAAUAGGUUAAAUUGAUGUGGCGUGUACAAUUAAUAUAUUAAAUAUAAUUUAGAUGAAAAAUUUAAUAGAAUGAUGUAUUUGUUAAAAUUUAAUAAAGGGUUUCAAUCGUAAAUUUUGCUUGUAACUGUGUAUUUCAAGAAUAAUAAUUGAAGUAGUAGUUGUUAAAAAAAAAUUGUAAAUAAUUGAGUGACACGUACGGUGGGAGACUUCAGUUGAGGAGGAGUAGACUUGGUAGAAUCAGGUGCUCCACGGUCCAACUAUGGUUACGCUGUUCUUCAAAUUUUGUACACGAACCUUUAAAUCUGAGCCGUUCAUUCUAGAUCUGUUGGUUGAAAAUUUACGAGGAAAUACGAACAAACUAAAAAAAAUUGCCAUCACCCAAACGUCACUGCUACGAGCCCCAAAUUUUCACGGCGAAAAGUUUAGUCAGCGAGAACGAAGAAAUUGAAGUCGAAAGUGGGAAGCUCGAUCUCGAUGACACGAACAACUCCGCAUUGGUCGAUUCCUUCCGGGGAAGAGACUCCUUUCUACUUGGAGAGCCACCAGUCGGAUUUCGGCUCCGCAAGGUGAGAGUUUCCACCAGUGGAAUCUCAUAUGCACAUUGCUGCUAAAGAAUAACCCGCAAGUUAAGAUAAUCCAUGAAUAGUCCGAAUGCCGCCUCGUAAGUUUCCAACAUGAUCUUGAGGUAUCUCACUUCUGAAACCUCCUCCUAGGCACAAUGCAUAUGUUUGCUUAAUUGGCGCUUGCAUGUCAAAUGUCCAGCUGGGCUGGCCAAGGACCAGUCUUUCUGCCCAAUUGUUUGAACCCAUUUACUGCUGCAAAUAUAUGUUGGGCUUUAAGCCCUCAACAGAAACCAGAUGUCUUCUUCGACUUCUUCCCCACCGCUCACCUGCGCCGCCGAUGCUGAUGCACAUCACUACAUCACAAGUGGAAGCCGUCGGGGUUGGCGCUGAACUUUCGGCGAGAGAAACAGAGAGAUGAGUGGAGGGCUUUAGUCUGUAGCAAUCUCAAAAGAUAUAGUUCAAGAGGGCGCUUCGGCUAAGGCGUACGCUCUUCAUCUGGUCGCCAUUUCCUUAGUUUCCGUCAACCGUCUCUCGUCGCUGCAGAAGUAGUAGAGGACGGAUCGGCAGGUCCACAGCCAUUUCGAAUCAAUGGCAGCUGGAAAAUCUCAAGUGGAAAGGCAGCCGAUCAUAUGGCGAAAAAACCUCGUAUGGUUCUUCGGUGUAGCAGCGUGCGUUAAACUCCUCCUGAUCCCGUCAUACCACAGUACUGACUUCGAAGUCCACCGUCACUGGUUGGCUUUGACCCGAUCCCUUCCCAUCUCUCAAUGGUACUCUGAUGAAACCAGCCCUUGGACGCUAGAUUAUCCGCCUUUCUUCGCCUACUUUGAGUACAUUCUCUCCUUCUUCGCUCGGCUCGUCGACCCUCGGAUCGUCGACAUUAACAAGGGCAUCAACUAUAAAGCCAACACCGUCGUCUAUUUCCAGAGAAUUACGGUAAUCUUAUCCGAUCUGUGCCUUUUAUACGGGGUAUACCGAUUGACCAGGAAGUUGGAGGGUAAAUCUAAGGUUUUGAUGUGGACAUUUGUGGUCUGGUCUCCGGCGCUUGUGAUUGUCGACCAUAUACAUUUUCAGUACAACGGGUUUUUGCUUGGGCUGUUGAUGCUGUCCAUUUCUUAUUUGCAAGAUGGGAGCGAUUUGAUGGGGGGAUUUCUCUUCGCAGUGUUGCUGUGUUUUAAGCACCUGUUUGCGGUGGCUGGACCUGUUUAUUUUGUUUACUUGUUGAGACAUUAUUGCCGCGGUGGAUUGCUCAAGGGUGUUGGAAGGCUCUCCAUCAUGGGAGCUGUUGUGGUGUCUGUUUUUGCAGCUGCAUUUGGUCCAUUUUUCUACCAGGGCCAGGUAAAGAUGGCUCACCUUUCAUUAUCUCCUUCUUGCUUGUUUAUUUACUGGUAGCCCUUUUACUUGACAAAUGGUUAAAAGAGAAUUGAGGAUGGUUUUGUCUUCGGAGUAGCUGUAGUUUGUCUAUUGUAUGAUCUCGAAUGAGACGUACUUUCCCGAUAUGUAUACGUGAAAGAAUCACCUAAUUGACUUAUGUUCAGGGUUUAAGCUUCGGUGCAAUACUAAUACUUUUAAAAUGUAAGACAUGUGUAAUACUUAUACUUAUGAAUCCAUUUGGAAUUGUGGCCUAUGUGAUGUUAAUGUAUAAUCGGUCAACUGAAGUCUUACAUGUAUUUACUCGUCUUACGUAGUGCAUUUAUUCUAUGAUGAUCCGUACUGUGCAGAUUCAACAAGUGAUCAGCCGAAUGUUUCCUUUUGGCAGGGGACUUUGUCACGCAUACUGGGCUCCGAAUUUUUGGGUCUUCUACAUUAUAUUAGAUAAAGGCCUUGCUUUUCUGCUUAGAAGACUUGGGUUGGAAGUCCCAACACCAGCAGCUUCAUUCACGGGCGGGUUAGUUGGGGAUUCAUCUCCUUUUGCAGUAUUACCACAGGUGACCUUGUCUAUUUAUUUAUUUUGCCUGUGCUGCAUCUAUAAUGUUGAAGAGAGAAGUUUUCUCUGCGUUCAUUCAUGGAUUUUAGCCUGCAUUUUCAAUUAAGUCUCAUAUACUCUGCUUACCAUCGAAGACUGGUACUUUUUCUGUGGGAAGCAAUGUGUGACCUAAUAUGAAGCAUGGCCAACUUGCAUCUGUUAUUCUUCAUUGAGUGUGAAAAAACAUAAUUGUGUCUUGUGUUCCUGAACUUGAUUUGCAUACUUUCUCGUUUGACUCCCGUGUGGUCUGAACUCUGAUGUAAUAAUAAUAGCUUCAUAUAAUGCAAAUAAACAGGUGACUCCCCUGACAACUUUCACCAUGGUGCUACUGGCUAUGUCUCCUUGCCUUGUUAAGAUAUGGAAGAAUCCUCAGCCAGGGUCGGUUGCCAGAUGGAUAUCCUAUGCUUAUACCUGCGGGUUUCUAUUCGGAUGGCAUGUACAUGAGAAGGCAUCACUCCAUUUUGUCAUACCUCUUGCUAUUGUUGCAAACCAGAGCCUGGAGGAUGCUAAGCAUUACUUCUUGCUAUCAAUCGGUAAGCUGAUUUUGUUUGCCUUUGGUGAAUUUGAACUAAUGAUGUGAUGUAGCAAUUUUAGACAACUCUGAACUCUUCCUUCAUGAGGUACUGGUAUAUCUACUAGUAUUACUGCAUUAUAAACUGACAUGUGGCAUUCUUAUCUACACUUUUCUGCAGCAACGUGUUACUCGUUAUUUCCACUUCUAUACGAGGCCCAGGAAUAUCCUAUCAAAGCUGUGUUAUUACUGCUGCAUUGCAUGCUGAUGUGGUUUGGCUUCAGUGCCGAAUUUGGCAAGGCCAAUGUAGCUAAGAAGUCAGCCAUCUCAGAUAAGACUUCCAGCACAAGCCAGAAAAAAGAAGAGGAAGAACGAGAAUUCGUGAUGGGACUAGGGGUGAAGUGUUAUAUUAUGGGUAUAGUAGCUAUGGAGACAUGGGGACAGUUGUUGCAUCCUUACUUUCUGGGUGAAAAGCUUCCAUUCAUACCACUUCUGUCCAUCUCCAUCUAUUGUGGGAUUGUGGUAAUGUACUCUUGGAUGUGGCAGCUUAAACGGAUAAUGGUGUGAACUGGUAGAUAGCUGAAUUCCUGCCCAGAGAGAGACAGAGUGAGAGAAAAGUUUUCAUUUGAAGCAGAAAGAUUUGAGUUUAUCUGAUACUUAUUUAAUGUUGGCUUGCAAUGUGCUGUUGUUACCUUUUUUUGUCAGUUGAAUUGGGGGACUUCCCUAGAACAAUAUAAAUGGAACAACAACUUUUUGUUUGUCGUUAUUGAUCUGCGUCGUCAUCUACAUUUAAUCUGGAGCUGACAUUGCCAAUAGCAAACUAAACGGAGAAUUCAUGAAUCACAACUAGAAAGAAACAUCUAGCUGAAAUCAGUUACCAUGAAGAAGGAACAGGGGGUUUGAGGAUGAUCUUCUACUGUAUGAGGAUAAGAUAGAAACCACCGUAACAGGGGGUCUCAGGAUGAUCUUCUACUGUAUGAGGAUGGACAUAGUGAACAGUACUCUGCCACUACUUGACACAUUGAGAUGAUUACUAGCCAGAAUCGUCAGCAGCAGCAAUGGCAAUCCCAACAGGAGGUAACUAACUAUAUUGCUCAUGCUCUUUCUGGAUUCUGAUGAAUGGCCUUCAUUAAUCUCGUUCAUUGUUGAUGUGAUUCUCCUUUUUGACCUUUAGUAUCCUAUUUGAGUUUGAUCUUUUUAAAUUGUAUCCCAUGGAAAAGUCAGGAGGCACACAAUUAAGACCUGUUCAGUAUUCUCCAACUACUUAAGUCCAGUUGAGAUGUGUUAUGUUAAAGCUCGAUCGAACAUCAGUUUUGUCUCCUGAUAUUUUGUUGUGACAGUCUGCUGGUAUGCACCCUGCUGCAGAAUUUGUUGCAAGAAAACGUACAAAUCAAUGUUGUAACAGUAUCCUUUUUUGUCUUCUCUGUCGUCUGUUUCCAAACUGGCAGGGGUUGGAUUAUGGCCAAUAUGAAUAUGAAUGCCAACGAUCAGGUUUGUAUUAUUUGCUCGUUCUUCUAUAGUGGAUAUUGAAACUGCAUAGAAAUAUGUUGUAGUAGAUUCACUGGUACCAUGAUACUUAGGAAUAUGUUGUGAAUCUGGUCCACCUACCCUCGACUUAACUGCUACUGCUUAUUAGACUAUCUGUCGACUGAUUAGAUCAUUCAUGUGAUGUGACGUGGUGGGGUAUAUGAGUUUGAUGAGUUAGUUGAAGUGAGGGGGAAGAGUUGAUUUGUUGGAAAGUGAGUGAAGAGGAUAUGCAUCUGGUGUGGAGGAAGGAAGGAGAAGAGAGGAGAUGAGGCGAUCAGGAUUGUUGCAUGUUUUUUACCAAUAUGGCUGAAACAAGUAAAACAACUUUGGUGGGAAUUUGUCUUUCAUUCUAAUUUGAGCAGUCAACUCUUGCAGCUAUGUACGGAUGCAGCGAUGAUUGAUGAUAUCGUCAAAUGAAAAAGUAUGGGGUAUCUCUCUGAUAUCUAACCCUUUUGGCGGAAUCUAAGUAGGAGUUGGUUACAAGCUUAGACAAGGACAAAGAGAAAGACCAGCUGGAGGUAGAAUCUUAAUUCACAUCCUUUUGAGAAGCAAACUCUUUCAACUCUUUUUUUUUGCAGUUAUGACACGAGACAUAUGACACAGUUUGGGUUGUGUUGAAUAGUAGAAUGAAUGGGGAUAAAGAAGAUUGAUGACACAAGUCUGGAGCUAGGAGCAUGCCAAGAGAAGAGUGAUGAGGGGUGAAGCAAAGUGAUGAAUGGGAAGUGGGAACAGUACUAGGUGAUGCAAGUGUGCCAUUUCUUCUGAUGAUUUCUUCUUCUGGUAGGCCUGAAAGUGAAAUGAAAGCCCUUAGCUUAUUAAAUGAGAGUUGGGACUGCCGAGGGGGGUGGGUUGGUUCCAGGGCUUUAAAUUUUGCUAGCUAUCUUCAUAAAUGCUGACUAAAAGUAAUAUUAGUACUGGGAAGGAAAUGCACAGAGUUAUGGAAGAGAGGUGCGGUGGUCUGUCUGUCUGUCUGUCCGUCUGUCUGUCUCGUACCAAAGGAAGAACAUGCUGUGGUAAAUUAAUUAUGUUAUAAUUAAUCGCACCACUUAUCCUUUCAUUCAUCUACUCUUUAUUAUUUUAAUUAAAUAAUAAUUAUGUUAUUACGUUCUGCAAAUAAAUGAUUUUGUCAACUUCGCUCGCUAGCCGCAGUGCAUGUGCAUGUGAUUCUAACUAAUAUUACGUCCUCCACUCAAUUGGACAUGUAUGAAGUUGAGUAUUUCCAUUAAAAGUGUAUUAAGUAAACUCUUUUUAUUAUUAUUUUUUUUAAUAAUAAAAAAAGGAAAAUGUGUGAAUUUUGUAAUAAUUAAUAAUUAAGUAAACUCUUUUUUUUUAAUAAUGAAAGAGUGACAANNNNNNNNUAAUGAAAGAGUGACAAAGAGUAUAUAUAAUGUACAUGCCCUUAUUAGAGAUGGAAGAAUAAUAUUUAUAAUCGUGUACUUGUACAAGGUUGCCUUAUCUCAACGGUUAGUGUGAUCAGCAAGAUCCUACUCGGUAGCUUAAGGCGGUUCGUUGANNNNNNUAAGGUAUAGGCAAAAACCCUAUUUAUGAUGAACUGAGUUUGUUGUAAGUUAUUAGACUUGGUUUCCACAUAACUCCUUAACGAUCUAGAUGAGGCCUAUUGAAAUCAGACGAUCAUAUUUAGACGGUCAAUCAAACAUGAUUGACCUUAUGUUUAAUUAUUUUCACCCACCAAUAUAUAACUUAUUGACAUUCGAUAAAAUUGAAAUAUGUCCGUUUUCAUUGAAAAAAUGAUAAAAAGAUUAUUAUAGGAUAAUAGAACACUAUACUGCACUAUCAUUUAUUAUUUUUAUUUUAGAGGAUAAUUUAUUUACUUUUUCGGUGUUUAAACUUAAUAAUGAACACUUGUUUCGAAAAAAAGAAAAACUUAAAUAAGGACAGUGUGAAGUGAAUGGUUGAUGCACCUAAUUUAUUGAAAUCGAGAGAUACGAAAAAAUCGACCUUUCUAUCGAAUUUCUUCGACAUUGUCGCUCUUCUCAUCUUACCAUCUCUCGUUGAUGUUCCUCCCUAACAAGGAUUCAUUUUCCAUUUUUGUAGCGGUGUAUUUAUGAGUUUAAAUUAUCUAUUUUUUCGAUAGGAAAAAUUGAGAUAGUACAAACACAAUAAAUAUAAUCAUCAACCUAAAUUGUGAGAUUUGAUCUCUAUACGGACAGAGAGAUAUGAAAAAGCCUUUCACGCCAAUUAUUUGCAGAUGCAAGCGAGAACAAACCGCUAGAAAAUCCAAGACUUUUGCGAUGACUACUCCACCAGCCACCUAUCGAGUGCUCUUACAUAGUAGUCGGAGCACAAACUUCAGGUCUUCUCAAUAUUCACCUGUCAAACCCCCUACGGUAAGUAUCAAGCAGAAACUUUUUUUUUUUUGCAAAAAGAAUGCGCCGAAGUGCCUUAAUUGUUAUUAGAAUCAAACGGCACAAAUUGUGAUAUAAAAACACCAAUCAAAUUAUAAUUCAACCAGUAAACAAAUUCAUAUCUGACGAAUCAAAUUACCUGUAAUAUAAUUAACUUGGUAAUAAAUAGGACAAAUCUCUUCUUUUUCUUUUGAAAACAAACAAGAGUUAAAAAAUAAAAACACACGAAUUCAAAACCUUUUCCCCAUGAACAAAACCACCCACCCAACAUCCGCAGCUUAUACAUUAAUGAAGCAAGUUUCCAUAGUUAAUGAUGAGAGUGAACACACACAAAUUCAAAAACUUUACCCUUCUUUUUCGUGUGUUUCUUCCUCCGCUUUCUCCGCAUUCCCAGAAUUCUCACUCCUUAUACAUAUAAUUACAGGGGGGGGACGCUCUGUUCCUGGGCAGGCAGAGUCCAAAAACAAUGUCCAUCUCCAUUCCUCCUCCUCCUCCUCCUUUCUUUCCUCUGCCUGCAAAUCUCUCACCUCCGUUCAACUCCGUCGAGGCUCAUCCUUCCUCUCCUUUCGACAACCUCAAACCGAGCAUCCUCAUUAUCAUCCUCGUCCUCUCUAUCACUCUCCUAGUCUCCGUCUCCCUCUGUUUCGACAACCUCAAACCGAGCAUCCUCAUUAUCAUCCUCAUCCUCUCUAUCACUCUCCUAGUCUCCGUCUCCCUCUGUCUCCUCCUCCGUCUCCUCAACCGCCGCUGUCUCCACCUCUCCUCCGCCGCUUCCACCACUACCACCACCACCACCACAGAUUCUCACCGCCACGUCACCAACAAAAAAAANNNNNNNNNNNNNNNNNNNNNNNNNNNNNNNNNNNNNNNNNNNNNNNNNNNNNNNNNNNNNNNNNNNNNNNNNNNNNNNNNNNNNNNNNNNNNNNNNNNNNNNNNNNNNNNNNNNNNNNNNNNNNNNNNNNNNNNNNNNNNNNNNNNNNNNNNNNNNNNNNNNNNNNNNNNNNNNNNNNNNNNNNNNNNNNNNNNNNNNNNNNNNNNNNNNNNNNNNNNNNNNNNNNNNNGAGCGUCUGCGCCAGCGCAGCGUCACACGCCGCCGCGGGCAUCGAUCGCCGGAGCUCCUACUCGAUCGGCGGCGGAUCGUUCGACUACAUCGUGGACGAGGAGGACUACGCGGAGGUCGCGUUGAAUCAGACUCAUGACAGUCACAGGAGAAGCGUGUCGGAGAAUAAGGAGGAAGCGGAUGAGCUCGCGGCGGAGGUCGGAAGGAGCAGCUGGCUCAAGGACUGCGUCGACAGACUGUUGGCGGCGAUGGCGUUGAGAGCGGGGUCUUUUUGGAGCUCGGGGUGGUGAAUCUCACUGCUAGCUUAGUUUUACUAGUAAACAAAACCCCUUAUCGUCACUCCAUUAUAUACUAAAUAGUAUUUUCACUUGCAUAUCUCUUGAUCUGGAAUUGGCUGUGCAGGACAUUCGAUUUCGUAGUAGAUCGAGUUUGGAAUGGAUCGUUGCAGAUUAAACAUGGACCAUUCUAUUGUUGGUCGAUCAGUCACUUGAACGGUGAUUUUUGAAAGAUACCUUACUUGUUUCUUUUUUGACGACCGCCAUUGAAGCAAAGGUGACUCGAAGUGUUGCUGUCUGUAUAGCAAUGAAUUCUGAUAGAAUACUGCAUUGACUUAAUCUCCAUCCGAUUGAACAUGGAAGAACAACUCUCAUUGUUGGCCGUCUUCCUCCCUGUAAACCCUCUGCUUCCUACGUCUUAUGAAUUGGUGGUCCAAAGGUUGAUUGCUAUUACUGGGAUUUGGUAUGCUGCUACUGCAGUGUCCCCUCAAAUGGAGGGGUGCAAUUCAAUCGUUGUCGUGCUCUCUCAAAACUGCAACCUCCGCUCCGCUGGCAGCUUACCACAUAGCUUUUCUCUCAGUUUUCUGUUACGUGAAAUGGUAAUGGAGACAAGGAUGAUUGGAUUGCCACAUGAACGAGAAGUGCAGUGUGGUAAAGUUGCCAUCUGUCACAUGGGGCCGGACACUUUUUAUCUUUCUUUUUUAUAUAACUAUCCAACUUCAUUUCUUAGGAUACAAAUGAUGACAAAUCCAUAUUGUCACAUAGGGAGAUUUGGUCUGGUGGUGGUACAAAUCCAUAUUGUCACAGCACCAACGCAUUUUUCAUAAAUUCAACCACUUUAUCUAAGUAUGCGUAACGAACGUAUUUCUCAUAAAUUCAACCAUUUUAUGUUUCAAAAGAGACGACAAAGCCCUACAUACUUUGUCGAUCAUGGUCAUGAUCGGCCAUUUUACAAGUAGUUAAAAUUAACCAUCAUUUAUUAGUUUACACCGCAAAGACCAUUGCUCACGACUCUACUUCAAUUUUUUUUUCGAAAAAAAGGUUGUUGAUAUAUGAUUAAUGCGUUAAAUUGAGACAAAUAUUGUUUACAAACGGAUCACACCAAUAAAGAGAUAUCACACCAAAGGCGGUGGACACAAGAUGAUGAGAGCGACGAGCUAACUCGUGCGUCAGCUCAAUUCUAUUUCUCUUAACCCAACAAGCCGUGUAAAGAGGUUAUUCUUGCAUCAAGUAAUUUUUUUGGGUGAACUCUGGUAUUCGACCCAUUGGCGGAUUAAUCCAGUCAAGGAAUUGUCCCGGGGUUAAGAUUUUUCAAACCUUGAUCCGUCCUUCAAAAUGCAGAUUCUGACACCACUACACCAACCACGGUCCAUCAAGUAACGCUUGGUCAUAUCGGAUCACCUAUGAGGCUUUGAGGCCUCAUUAGGCUAUUAUUAGUUACGGGCUUUGGUGACGUCGGGUCUGAAACUGAAUAGCACAUUUGUAAGGCAAUACUGGUAAUGGGCCUAUGAACCCACUAAACGGUAAGGAAACGAAAAGGAAGACUCCAGAACUUCCGGCUUAGUCAUCUCCUAAGGAAAGGAUAGACCUAGAACAAGAAGAAGGGGAAGAAGAAGAAGAAGAAGAAGAAGCAGAGAGAACCAGGGUUUUAGUAUUGAGCUAGCUCACCGCAACACUCAUCGUCAAAUGGCGUCCACUGCAUUUGCCACAGUCAGGUUACCAGUACCCUCAUUGGUGGUCAACCCCAACCCUUCCGUUUCUCGUGCUCGACCUACCCUUCUUGGUAAGAAUGUCCCAACUCUUUCCCUUCCGUCGUCUUAUCCAUCUCAGUCAUUUGUCUCCAUUUCGUAUGUGUUCCCUCGCCAAUUCCUCUUCUUCAUCAUCCCUGUCAGGUUCGAGAAGAAAUUCUCUCAGAAUCCAGGCUGUCUCUAAGCAAUGGGAACCUACUAAAGUAUCCUUUUCGCUCCUCUUCCCCUUUUGCGCAUUAACUUUUUUGAUAAUUCCAACCAUUUUCAUGCCGCUGUUGAUUUCCAGGUUGUGCCGCAAGCUGACAGAGUCCUCAUCCGUCUUGAAGAGCUCCCCGAGGUUCGCAUUUCGCUCUAGUCUUCUUUUGCCAAAUUUGACUUUCAGCGUCCUGCCUUGUCCAGGGUUGAUAGGGGUUUAUCCGUUUAGGGAAUGAUGGGAAUGUGCUGUAUCUGCCUCGAUAAUUUGGUUAUAAUGCUGCGAAAUGCUCUGGAACAAUUUGUUGAUCUGGCUAGCUAGCUUUGGUCUCUAAUUGCAGUCCUGAUUUUUUGCCAUUUUGUACGAGAAAUGAAUUGAACUUGUUGGUGGUGCAGAAAUCGGCAGGGGGAAUCCUUUUACCUAAGUCAGCUGUUAAGUUCGAGCGAUACCUUGUUGGGGAGGUAACAAAUUCGAAUUGUUACCUGCAUAUAGAAAUAUGGGUUCUCAGUCGCUCUGAUGCUUUGAGGUGUAUCUAACCAUCUCUUUGUUGAUUUGAAUGGUUGGUAUCAGGUGUUGUCCGUUGGUGCAGAGGCUGAGCAGGUCGAGGCCGGCAAGAAGGUGAGGAUAUCGACCAUACAAUGAUGCUAUUUAUUCAUAUUGGCACCCCAGUUUCUUGACGUAUUCUGUCUUGUUCUGGCAGGUUCUUUUAUCUGACAUCCAUGCUUACGAGGUUAGUAAAGUCAGUAUUUUAUCUUUUAGUUUCUUGGUGGCUCAAUCGAAUUUAACAUGUUUGCUGUCAUUUUCACUUGUAAAUGGUUGCCAACCGAUGCAUGCUUCCGAACUGUCGACAACUGAAUACGAAGCAAAACCACAAGAUAUAAGCCUCUCUAGCGCUUUAGCACUAACUUAGAUUGCACUGCUUGGACACAAAAUGGACAAGCCAUUGUGUGAGGCUGUGAAACAUAUAUGAUAUUGAUUCUAGACUUCUAGUGAAUUUCCAUGUUUUAGGGCUAGCCAUCCCAUGCUUGUUUCACUAGCCAGCAAAGAGCGUUUGGUUUACCAAUUAGGUUGUAGUAAUUCUGAAUGUGAUACCAUACUCUUGCGAUGCAACAAUUCUUAGGAGUAUUACAAACCUUACAUGGACGAUCCAUGAUAGAUCAUACCAACUUAUCAUGAAUUUGGUGGUUAAUAAGGUCACGAUAUUUAUGAAAAGAUGUAAGAAGAUACAUUUAUAUUUUGUAACAUUAUACUACACUUUUGGCAUCUGAGUAAUCUACAUUAGUUGAUGUCUUAUUACCAGAUCUCUUAACUUCCCCAUUUUCUUACUAGAUUUUGUUUCCUUUGAAGCUUUGUUAAAGUCGGAUUGUGUGGUUGAACUGUGCAGGUGGAUUUGGGAACAGAUGGCCGGCAUUGUUUUGCCAGAGCUAGUGAUUUGUUGGCUGUGGUUGAGUGAGUAAAGCUUCUGUUGCUUUGGCCUAAUGCAUCGCAUCCUUGGAUAACGAAGUUUAUAGCAGAUGAAACGUAUCGUUGCCCUCUGUUUCGAGUUUCGUUUUUGAAAGCCAUAUCUGUAUGUGACACUGAACUCUGCGGCACUAGCCAUUUUACGUAGCUUAUGGAUAAGACUGUAAGCGGUUGUUGGAACAAUCUCUCUUACAUGAGUUGUCUGUCAACGUUUUCACCAAAGUCAAAAUGUUGAUGAUUUAUUAUGAAUUUCACAACUGUCGUUUACAGAGGUACCCGUUUGUAGUAGUAGUUUCGAAACUGUAAUGUACAGGAGGAGUUCUAGGAGGUGAAAGCAAGGAGGGGCGUACGUAGCAAAUUAAUCAGCCUAUACGGAGCAGGUUGAUGAUGGAUAGAGAGAUUGCACACAGCUGAAAUCUGUCCCUGUUUCUAGUCGUUAGCGGGGAGACGGAGUCCUCCGGUCUGUUGACAAACUGGUCUUCGCAAGUUGCAGAUGCAUCGAGAACCAAACCCACCUUGAUGUUGGCAUCCAUGAAGCUCCCGUACUUGAUGCUUAUGAUGGCCGGUUUGAGGGAAGGUAUGGUGUCGGAGUAGAGCUGAAGGCAGUCCUGUAAGCAUGCCUGGACGUAAGGGUCUGUCAUGGAAUUAGCGUUGUCGUGGUCGGAGAGGAGGUGGUUGAUGAAGCACUUGGUGUUGGUGGCAUUGUGGUGGAUCAAGUUUAUGGAGAUGACGGCUAGCUUGGUGAGAUCGGGGUCGGAUCCUGGAUGGGUGGCUGCUUGAAGGGGAGUUAGGCAGAAGUCGUAGGAGAUGUUUGGAUCGGUGUUGGCAGAUUUCAUGCAGGUAGAGUUGAUGAUGUUGUGAUUAGCGGAAGCAUCAACGAGGAGGCAACAUUGUAGGGCGAUGAAGAAGAGGGGUGAGAACGUAAGAGAAUGGGCGAGGAUCCUCCAUUGGAGAGGAGAGAAAUGAGGAGGUGGUGGUUUUCAGAGGGGAAGUAGUAUGAUCAAGGAUGGAUGGGUUAUAUAAUGGAAAGUGGAUGGUGGAUGGAUUUGAAAGUUUAAUGAUGUUGUUGCUAUCUGCUUGAACUUGUCCCACUUUGUUUGGGCUGCACCAACGAUGUGUUCGCACAAGACUAUAACCGGCUAGCCAUAAUGUGUACUCUACUUUCGUAGAUAAAAAUCAAAUUUGACGUCCCAUUAUGGGGUUGUCUAAGUACAAUACACUCCCUUCAAAACCUCAAUUGUUUAUUUCCUUCUAUAAACCUCGACCACAAAAUUAAGGGGAUCGUGCAUUGGGCCUCUACCAAGCAGUCGAAUAACACAUCGAUAGGGGGCGUUAUGCGUCUCAGACAAUCGAGCGAUCGAACCAAAAGUUCCUUUGAUGAAGAGACUAUUUUCAAUAUUGGUUUUAAAUAAAGUCUCUCGUUGGGAGCUAUCUAUGAUAAAAAAAAGAAAUUAUUUUCAAUCACUAUGAUUCACUUCGAGCCCUUCUUAACCUUGCGAUACCCUUUAGAGUUGUUCUUGUAGAAUUAUGAUUAUCAUCAAUAUCGCUCUCAAUGUAAAUGAAGUAGAAUAAGGACUUGCUCGUAUUUGUGCUUCAUCCUCUUGCAAGAUGGGGCCGUUCAUUGCACCAAUCUACACAAGUAUAUUCACUUUUGAUUAAAAUACUAAAAAUUAAAAAUUAAUAAUAAUGUUUAAGUAAGUUGAGGAAAUGUUAGGGGAAAAAGCGAGAGUUAAGCCUAGUUGUAAUAAUAGUUUUUAAUUUCUUCGAUCUUCUUCGUCUUUUUGAUUUUAUUUUAGACUUUUAUUAUAAGCUGUGUCUUUCGUAGGAAAAAAGUUGUAUUGUUACCUCUUGCAGGAAAAAAGUUGUUUUAUUGCCUUUUGUAAGAGAGAACCCCCCUCUCCGAAACCAUAAAUGUCGCCCCGUACUCACCAUAACCACCAUGACCGCCCUACACUCGUUUGCUUCUAACGUCUCCAUUGUCACCAACGUCGCCAUUACUGAUAAUGUCGGCGACGUCACCAACGUCUCCAACGUCGCCAACGUCGUCAUCGCCACCAACGUCGCGAGUAUUGUUGUUGCUAUACCGAUAAUCACCGCCGUUACUGCACCCCUACCCGCUUCCACGAAACACUACCAGGACAUCACCCUGCGUCACCAACCGGUCAACCAAGGGCGACCGGUCCGGUUCACUGAACUUGCGAGUUGGAACGGCUAAAAUCCUAGUCUUCCUUAGCAGUUUAAAUAGGGAUAUUGCUAAUCACAUCCAAAUUUACUAGUUUUUUUUUCUAGUUUUAUUUCUAACUUCAACUUUUUUUUUGUUUAUGGUUUGUGUUUGUUUUGUUGGUGAUUGUUAAUGCCCUUAUUUUUUAUUUUUAGGGUGAAUCUCUAUUGGGUUGUCCGUUUGUUGGAGAGAGAGGAUUGAGGUGUUUGCUAUUGUAAAGACCCGCGAUUCAUGCUAGUCUCGUAGUUGAGAACUACACCCUCGAUGAGACUUCUUGUAUGCCUCACAUUGUUAUGCCUUGAUAAGGAACAUAGAUGAUAUGAUUUUUUGUCAAAAAAAGUUAAGGAAAUAUUAUCCACAAUCAAAUAAUAAGAAUUUUUGUAUGAAUUAAUGGCGAUGAGUAUGGAUUUUGUAAAAAAUAUUGACAAUAAUAUGAUAAAAAAGAUAAAAAAAUUAUAAUAUUAUCUUGUGAACAUCAAGGAGAUAAUAAUGACGUGACCCGCUCAAAAUUGGUUGAGUUGGUUCACUCGCCACAGUUUAUAGAUUCUAUGAAUAGUUGGUUUUUGGUUAAUAUUUAAAUAUUAAUCGAGUCAGGUGGGGCUGAACCGGGCUUUGGUAGGUCUUAUUUGAUUUCAAAUCCGGUUAUGUGCAUAUUUCGGUACUGGUUAGUGGUUAGCGCCGAACAUUGUCUUCUCCGCAAAAGGCCGCAAAACUGGGCGAACCAAACGGGAACGUCGCAUCGGCCAAAACCCCUGGCCGGAUAAUUGCAAAACCUCCUCCGGUGUAUUUUUCACUUCUUCUCAUCUUUACAGUCCCAAGCACAAAAUUAUAGCGUUUUUUGUUUCCAUGGCGGCAUAGCUUGAGAGAAACCCACCAGUAGCAGUAUUAUUUAACUCCAAAACGGCCUCUUCUUCUUUUUUAUAUGAACCGAUAAGGCAGGCAGGCUUACAUAACAGUAGUAGUCAGUCAAAGAAGCGAUAAGAAUGGCGAAUCUCCGGACGGCAAUGGAUUCAGCAUUCUGGGACCAGCCGGUUUCCUCUCCGGAAACCCUAGAUGGCUGCGUGCGCUCAGUACCAAGCCAAGCAUUCCCUCUGGAAAUCUCUAGAGCUAGCCGAGCCCUCCGCAUUCAACAGCUCUCCAUCCUCAGUCGUGUUUUCCCGCUCGGAAUUAUCCCUUCCAUUUCCCCAACUCCCCACGACCCCCAACUCGGCUCCCUCGCUUUCCAGUCCUCCUUCCUCAAGCUCUCCCUCUCCAAUUGGUACACUACACCCCCUCUCCCUCCCAUUUCUCUACUCUUUACUCUUUGCUUCUUUAUGGUGGAAAUGCAGAAUCUGAGAUGACUUGUGUUUGGGGAAUGCAGGUGGCUUGGACUGGUUGGCCAAUUCCGCCCCAAGAAACUCAUUUCAUCCAUCAAGCGAGAUUUCUUCAAUGGAGGCUCCCCUGAGUUCAAGAAUGUGGGAAAGCAUGUGUUGGACGAAUCACUCUACUCCAUAGGUGCUUACACUCAAUUCUCCCCAAUUCCAUCCACCUCCCUCUUGCUCUCUACUGAGCGCCAUGGCGACAAGAAGACACCUCGCCACAAACUCAUGCUCUACCACCAGGUACGCCACCCAACCCCUUCCACUUUUUUUCCAGCUUCAUUUUUGCUUCAGUUGAUUUAUUUAGAUUGUCAAAAACUAUCUAGUUAUAUAUAGAGCUUUCUGAAACAAAUUAUAUAUAGAGCAGUCAAAUGGGUGGGUUAGUUGAGUUAAGGAUCACGGAUUCAUCGGACUUACAGUUUCAUUUGGCCAUGAAUUGAUUGAAUUACGCUCAGGCACUUCAUUUUUGUUACAGCUUCGUAACCACGACAUUACUUUAGAGGCAGCAGUGCCUGAGCUGUUUGUUGACAACCGUAAAGCUACUGGAUACUGGGAUGUUCCUCAGUCAGCAUCCUUAGACGUGUCUUCCCUUCUCAACAAAUCCGGUUUCGUGUACCGAUUUGGCCUCCACGCAAAUGCAGGUCAUCCUGAAUCUGCUGUUAAUACAGUGGAUGCCGAGCCACCCUCUGCUUUGGUGCCUGGACUAUGUGGCAAGGUUGCCUGUUCUUACCAGAAGAGCAAGGAUUUCUGGCGUAUAAAGUGUUCCAAGAGUGCUGAGACGCGCUUGUCCCUGCCGCGUCCCUAUGAUGAUCAACUAAAGGAACCUCAUUCUUCUCUCUCUGGAAUCAUUGGUAAUGUAGUUGAUGGACCAUGAGUGCUGAGACGCGCCUGUCCAUGUUUUUUGCACAAGCGUUUUUCUUAUUUGCUGUGAUUCUACAUGUUAGGUGCAACCUGCGCAGCCUGGUUAAUUGGCGAGGAACGCUUAGCCACACCCUUUGCUCCCAAACCGCGAAGAAGAAGGAAUAGGAACAUUCCAGUUCCAGUUCCAAUUCCAGUAAGGAGUAGUAUAAAGAGGAGCCCAGUAAGUGCAGAUAUGUUCGGCUCAGUUUGCUAUACCAUCCAACAUGGGAAGUUCACCAAGAGCUACGGUGACUUGACAAGGCUGGAUGCUCGCCUGGAUAUUUUCUCAGCAGCAGCUCUCUUCUCCAAAGGGGUUUUCAAUACGUUUCAAAAUUCAGAAGGGAAUCCAGACAAUACACUAUCUUCUCCCAGGCUCAACUUUAUCUUCCAACAGCAGGUAUUGGAUUCUUCUUGAUACCGCCAUUUUAUCUGAUCCGUAGAUAGAUUUUGGUGCCGUGUCACCUGUGAGAAACAGCCUUAAUACAGUUGAAGAAGCUAUACCUGUCUGUAAAGCAUGGCCUUAACGUAGUUCGUCUUGGCAGGUUGCGGGGCCCGUAGUGGCUCGAGUGGAUUCAAGGUUUGCAGUGGGUGGUUCAUCGAGAGGGGCGCACCUGGAAGAUGUGGUAUACAGUAUGAAUUAUUCAUUGAAGGCAAUGAGGGCUGCGAAAGUUGUAGCUUGGUAUUCACCCAAAAGAAAAGAGGGAAUGGUCGAACUACGCGUCUCUGAGUUCUAGUCAGUGUUCCGGUUCCCUUUUCGGCUUCGUUGAUAGAUAGGUUUUUUCAUCAUUGUUUUGAAGUUGAGUACAUUUUGAGUUUCGAGCUUCCGAGGCAGUGCGAUGGACGGAAUAAGAUAAAGAGUUAAGUAAGUUAACCCUGAACUCUAGUGUUCUAACUUCUUUUUCUUCAUUUUCUUUCCUUUUUGUUGGCAUGGCUCAGUAGAGUUUUUUGCCAUAUAGCAAUUCUUUAGCCUGAACUCGGUUCUUGCUGCCAUUUUGGUUUCGGAAAUUGUGAGCAUUCAUCGGCAAGUCGAUUUCAUUUUCAUCGUGUGCAAUUGAACUGAAGUAUUCAACUACUACGGUUCCAUGAACACUGUUUUAACGUUGUUAAACAUACUUAUAAUGAGGGAACAAGCAAGCGAAAGAGAUUUCGAAUUUCAUUUAGAAUUCCGAUGCAUACCAAAACCACUGUUCUACGAAACCAGCCAUUACACGGAGUCAUAGACCCAGUCAAAUCGACAACAUAAUGUUUUAGACUCCUACAAUAGGUUUCUGAUUAUUCACUCAAUCAACUGUUUCUGGACUCAGGUUCGAAAUGGAACACAGAAACAGCGUGUCUAAAAUGAAACACAGCUGAUUUGAAGGAUGGAAAAUCCUGCACCAAAGUAUACCAAGCCAUAUCAACUUGCCAUAGGAUGGUUAUGGAUGUAUUCGAUAGCAAGCUUGCACGAGUCAAUCUUAUCAGCUUCCUUGUCGGGAAUCUCCAGCUUGAAUUCCUCUUCCAAAGCCAUCACGAUCUCAACACUGUCCAGGCUGUCCAAUCCUAGAUCAUUUUGGAAAUGUACCUCAGGAGUCACCUGCACAUGAUGGUCAUAACAAUCUAAUGUCAUUACCAGUUCAUGAAAAUAAGCAAAACCCUUGCAGCAGCAUCAACGGGCUAGCUUAAACUGACGAUCAUAAGAGUAAUUAUAACUUCAUUAUAAAAAGGAUGACACUAUAAUGUCUGCAGCAUGCAAACCGACAUUUCAUAGCAGUGGCAAGCUACGAAAAGAAGGAUAAAAAGUUUUCCCAGGUAAGCAUCGGAUGAGAUAGAACACAGUCAAAUGCAUGGGACAGAUUGGACAUUCCAUCAUGCAUUCAUGCCCCAUCAGCACAACCAGAUUCAGUCCACCAUGAACAUACUCAAUCGACUGUAAGAAUUAAUUGCAAGGACAAUAGAUACAGCCAUAUACCAUUCAAAUUUAUGUACCCUUGAGAUACCAUUUUCAGAGAAAACACCAUACGUGGGGAGCAUAGUGAAGAAUCGAACAGUAGAGCCGAAGAAUAAAGCAAAAAGGUGGAAAAUUUUAGGUGAAAAGAAACACAGCAGCACAAACUAGCAUUUCCAGGACACAGGAAAGGGUCAGUUGUGUCGAUGAAGUGAAUGAUAGAAUCUAGAUUGCUACAUAGGGUUGUGUAAGGUUUUACGCCUUUACUUUCUGUAUGAUGUACAGAACAAAGUUCUGAAGACACAACUCACAAUCAAGCAAUCGUGCAGUACUAAAUGCGAAACGCUAGAGAAAGAAGAAAACUCAAUUUAGAACUGUCCAGUUCGGAAGAGUGAACUAAAAACACAUUUCAGCUCCAGAUGGUAAAUAGAUUCUGACAUAUCUUUCCUUCAGAGAAUUAUAUAUAGUGACUGGCCAACACAUCUCUCGGACGACCACAAAAAAUGGGAGUUCAAUAACCAGUCAAUUAGGCCUUUUGCACCGUAUCAGGCACUAUCAAGAUCAAAUUUUCUUCAGUCGCGAAUAAAAAAAUGGGGCGGCAGCCAAGCUUUUCCAUUAAAGUGACUAUAAAUACAUAACGGCAAGGAAGACUGGAGAGAUUCCUGCAUAGUUCUUAUACUAAUUGAGUGUAUAUAUCGAUAUCAAUACACACCAGGCAGAUUCAAGUUCGCAAAAGGAUACUCAGAUUGGAGGGAGACCACGAAUUAAGGAUUCGUACGCAGUAGCCAAAAACUUUCGAAAUGGUCCGUGUCUCUAUAAAAUCAAUCAAAACCUAGAAGAAGAACUAAAGCAGAAAUGAAGCACCGAAAUCGGAGGUGCGGCAUAAUUGGAAACCAGCGAUGAAUGAUCUGGUGAUACUGUGUCAAAAAUGACAGGCAAGGAAAGAUAGUCGGGUGUGACAAACCUUGGAUGGAUCGACUUUCGGGAAGCUCUUGAUGACGGAAAGAACUCUCUCGGCGACGUCUUCCUUGCUAAGAUGGUCGUCGUGCGAUGACAUUCGCCGGAUGAACGGCUGAGUGUAUCGGCCAGCGGGAACUAGGGUUUGGACGGGAACACGAAGGUGUCGGAUGAUGGCUGCCCUCAACGCCAUUGUUUCUCUCUCUUCCCGUCUGUGUUGAGAGUUAGAUUUGGCAGUGAAAGGGGUUUGCGUGAAACUAAACUUAACGGGAAAUGAAACCGCACAUGGCGCAAGUCUUCAGCCUCCGGUAAUUAUCUAUUUUGGUCAUUCACCGCUAAGUAUUCUAACAAUUAAGUAACACUUGUGGCUUAUUUGCCCCCCUCCACCCGAGUGUCAUCCCUCUCCGAGUAUGGUUUUGGGCCGCUAAAGGUGCUCGGCCGUCAUGGGAUGGUCUAGCAUCCUUCACGGCCGCAAACUUCUUCAUGAACCCCACUAGGUUGGUUGGUAAUGACCUCACCAUCUCAACAAUUGAGUCCAAUUGGUUACCUACUUCGCCAUUGUCGGCACUAAGUCCUUUUCUCUGGCAGCGAGUACGGGUACUGUCCCGCCUACAGUCGCGGGCUUGCUCACCGACAGGUCUUGGAAUACUCCGCUUGUUGAGUCCCUUUUCCCCGCUUCCACCGCUACUUCCAUUUUGGGACUCCCACUCCCUUUGUCAGAUGACAUCUCUUAUUAAUUGGCUUGGCACUACAUCAUCUCUGAAUUGUACAAACUCUCCUCGGGCUACCGGGUGGUACGAUCCCGCUGCAAGAAAACCCACACCUGGCCCCCUCUUUGGCCCGCAUCUGGUUGAUGCCGCACUAUGGGAUCGCCCAUUGUCCCUUCCUAUACUAUUCAAGCUUAAGGAUCUUUAUGUGGAAGUUCUUCACAACCAUUUUAGCAUCACCGAGGCUCUACGCUCGCACCAAGUAGAUGUCAACCCGUCAUGUCGAGUAUGUCGACUAGAAAGCGAGUUUUUGCAUCAUCUUUUCGUCAAAUGCCCAACGACUAUCCACUUCUCGGCAACUAGCAACUGUGACUCAUUCACGUCCCUCUCCUAUCAUUCGAUCACCUUUUGGCGCAUUACUAAUCAGGACAACGUCUUGGUUUUUAUUAAACUCAUCUUCUACUGGUGGCGGCUUUGGAAAUCACCAAUACUGUGGUUUUCUCCAAUUAUCAAACAACCAUUCUGGUUCUUGCAACACAGUUUGAAAGCCAAUGGACGGAGGGUUUGGCUACCGCUUAGUACCAACUGACACAGCAACAUUCGAGCUCGGCGGCUGCUAUUAGUGGACCUCCGGUCCCUUAUCACACUCUUCGAAGCUACUUUUUUUAUGCGGCAUUUCGUCCCUACACCUAGACUUCUUCCGGUUUUGGCUCCAAUGGUGUGGUGUGCCUUGACUGAUAUGGCGUCAUAGCGAAGGCGACUCACGACGUCCACUCGCAUCUCACGGACCUCAUUGCGCUGGAAGUAAUGUCGAUCAAGCUCGCACUCUCAUUAGUAGCUGACCAACCUCUCGCGCCCACUAUUAUCCAUACAGACUCAACUAGCAAAGAUUGCCCGCCUUAUCAACUCUGACACCCCAGACAUCAGAGUAGGCCUCCUACUAUCUGAGACUCGUCGACUUUUUCACUCCCUCCCACACCCUUACAUCAAGUUCAUACCGCGCCGAAAUAAUAAAGCUGUCCAUUUAAUGACCUGGGAAGCUCUACAUUAUCCCAAUUCAACACGAAAUUUUUAGAUUUACGCUACAAUAUUUAAAUGUUUUCUAUCUCGAGUAUAUCUCGAGAGAUACCUUAGAUAAAAGAAAAGGUCUGAUUAUGGGUUAAGAGGACAAUGACCUCCCAUAUCUUUUAUGGACUCAAGGAUGUAGGCCAUCUAAUUCACCUAUAAGAUCUAAUGAUUUUAAAUAAAGGAAUGUUCAAAUGGAGUUGUUCUAGUGGUAGAGUAUGUGUUUGGUUAUUAGAGGAUUUUAGUUUAAAUCUAGUAUAUUUCGAAAAAUGAACACUUAUUUAUUUUCUUUCUUCUAUCUUUUAUUAUCCAAAAGACUCCAUCUAUUAAAAAAAAAGACAAAGCAAGAUGAUAGUGUUAUAUUCACAUACUUUUGAUUUUUCAUUUUUUUACCAUCCAACCAGCUUCCAUCACCGGACCGAUGGAACCAUGUCUCCGUUAAGCAAACCACUACCAAUCAUGUAAGGGAAAAGUUUGGUAUGACCCAUGAGCCAAAGCAUACACUCUAUUUUAGAUUUUGAUUGUGAUCGCUAAGUUUAACGUGAAACCUGUGAAAUUUAUAAUGCCUAUUAACAGCAAGAUCGUAUUAAUUAGAUUUUUCAAACCCUACAUUAUGCGGCUUGAUGUGGAAUCUGUUAUUGCCCAUUUUUGUAAUUUCCAUUCCAAUCGUCUAAAUUCGUUAUUUUACGAGUCCACUAUUAUAAAUCGAAAAAAAACUCGAUGAAAAUCAUAGUGAUAUAUUCAUAAAAAUAUGGUGAUCUAAUGGCCAUAUAUACCUAAUUCGACAACUUUUGGAGUUUGGACCAGAAUCCUAAAUGUAAAAAUUAUUAAUUGUAUGGUGAAACAGUUAAUUUCACAAAACUUAAGAAGCAAACUGCACGUAGUCCCGAGGAAAUAAUAAACUCCCCCCAAGACCCAAGUCAAUUAGCACAUCCUCUCUUUUCUCUCGAGAUCCGGAUCUCGAUUUUUUCGACGAUCUCUCUGACGGGCAUAACCCGUCUAACAAUCGCCGGCGGGAACUUCGUCUGAUAGUAUAGAUUCUCAGGAACAAUGGCUCCAGUAUCCGCCCUGGCGAAGUACAAGCUGGUGUUCUUAGGUGAUCAGUCUGUUGGUAAAACCAGUAUCAUCACCCGCUUCAUGUAUGAUAAGUUCGACAAUACUUAUCAGGUAAUUGCAUUUCAAGCGGAUGUUUUCAAUCGUUUCAUCUCUUCCUCUCCCCCCGGCGGCUAGAUCCAAUUAGAACAGUGCUUCUUUGAUGCUUGCUUUGAUCUGAUUUGUUUGGUAUGUUGAAUAUCUGUUACUUCACUUCAUGCGUUAUUUUGUAUACGAUCCAUUUGAAAUACAUCAUAUAGAGGUCUGGUAUGGAUCUUAUGCUUAUAUUUCCAUGUUAUUUCUUGGAGGGAAUAUUUGAAAAUCAUGGGAUCUCUAUACAUCUAUGUUUACCUUUCGUGGUUUUGUUUUUCUUUGCUCUUGUUGGCUAAGAGUUAUCAUUGUUUACCAAUCUGGAUAUAGUUCACGUAAAGUGAUUCGUUUGCUCUGCUCUUAUUGUCUUAUCCCAUUGUUUCUUCAUGACCAGGCUACCAUUGGUAUCGAUUUUCUCUCAAAGACUAUGUACCUUGAAGACAGAACUGUUAGAUUGCAGCUCUGGUAAGAUUUCUGUUUCUUGAAGUUAAUAUUUGUUCGUGUUAUACCUUUUAUGCAAGAUAUUUCUUCAUUUACGACGGGCCUUUGUAUGCACAUUUAAUUUAUUCAUUGCAAUAUCUUUUAUCAUCUAUGCCAUUUCAGGUCUUAUAUACACUUUCGAAGCUUUACUUACUUGCAUAUGGUGUAACUACUGUUUUUAGUUUCAUGUAAUCAUGCAUCAUUGACAUCAGUUGUGGAACACUGAUUCUUGAAGCUAUACUCAUACCAAGUAUCAUGCUAAAUGCAGGCUAGAGGGCCUAACAUACUAGUUAUGCUCUUACAUUAUUUUACGAAAUAGUUAUGCUAAACGUACCCACGGGCCACUAGCGGAUCUGGGGUGGAUCAAGGCACCUGGCCAUUUCGGAAAGAUUUACUAGGCUUUGUGAAUUGUAGUGGAUUAUUAAAUACUAUGUUGUUUUGGAUUGGGUUGUACUGCACCAAUUUACAUUAUCGAUUUGAUGAUUCUUGUAAUUGAAUCUGGUAAUGUAUUUUUUAAUCCUUCAGUGGGUCAAAUCAAAUCCUAAACUGGGCUAAAUUGGUAAAACCAUUAGGCCAAUCCACUUCUGUAUACAAAAUUACACAUAGUUUCAUAGUUUUGGGUCUGGGGGAGGGCUUGUUGGUUUUGCCUUAGUUGAUUUAGGUUAUUCAUCUUAGUUUAUUUAUGUAGAAGCUUGCUGGUUGGGUCAUUCAUCUUAUUCGAUUUAUGUAGAAGCUUUACUUCUGUGUGAGAUCUAAACUGUUUGCCACCUACUCAACUUGUUGGUUUUACCUAAGGCUGGAGAUUCCUAAGUGGCUUUCAUGAAUGCUAAUGAAUGAUGAUGGUCUUAGCAGCUUUGACAAGCUCUUUUUCCCCCACAUGAAUUGCUUUAAGAAUGAAUGACAUUUCUUCAUGUAGGUAAUUGACGGUCAAUAAAUGGGAACACUUGAAUUUUUUUGUAGGGACACUGCAGGACAAGAACGGUUCAGAAGCCUUAUUCCAAGUUACAUAAGAGAUUCAUCUGUGGCGGUCAUUGUGUAUGAUGUUGCAAGUACGGUAUUUUUUACGGCUUUUGUUGAAGCCCCUUUCUCUUUUAUAUCUGUUUCCUAUUGUGUCUUGUAACUCUCAUCAUAUCAUCUUCCUGUAUCACAUGGGAGCAAUAUCUACUGCAUUAUCUUUCACUUGCUAUAAUCUUGCCUUUUUGCUGCUGAGGAUUUGCUUGACACCUGUUGUGUCUGUGCUUUCAGGCAGACAUUCGUUCCUGAACACAUCCAAAUGGAUUGAAGAGGUUCGAACUGAGCGGGGAAGUGAUGUCAUAAUUGUACUGGUCGGAAAUAAGACUGAUCUUGUGGACAAAAGGUAAUGUUUUGAUGUUUUAGGAGUUGCAGUUCAUUGUUGAACGAACUAUAGUAUGUGCCCCGGCCCCGGGGCCGCUUUCUCUGAAACGUUAACACAAGUGUGGGAAGUGUUUCCUAAUAAUUGUACUCGUAUGAUUGAAUAUGUAUUAGGAAAUUUGUGAAUGUGCUGGCUAUUUUUUAAAUAUAUCCAUAGGACUCUUUUAUAUUAACUUCUUUAGCAAUGGUAGUAACUUCAGAAAAGAGUUAGUUGUGUGACAGUUGUGCAGAAAUACAGGAGGGGACUGAAGAAAUACUUGCAUUGCAUUUACAGUUGUAGCCUUUUGAAUCAUUGGUGAUCCUAAUGUUUGACAGGCAAGUUUCAGUAGAGGAAGGAGAGGCAAAAGCUCGUGAGAUGAAUGUCAUGUGUAUCGAGACAAGUGCAAAGGCUGGCUUCAAUAUUAAGGUAGGGGGUUGUUGCUUUGGUUUGAUUUGUAGUGACGGAUGGAGGGAAGUCAAUUAAAUUUGUACUGAAGUCAUAUGGGCUAUUGGGUUGAAAACCUUGUGCUGGAUUCUAUUUUUCUCAGGCGCUGUUCAGGAAGAUUGCAGCAGCACUGCCGGGAAUGGAAACGCUUUCAUCAACAAAGCAAGAAGAUAUGGUUGAUGUGAAUCUCAAGUCCUCGAAUGCUAAUGCGUCACAGUCCCAAGGGCAGUCAGGAGGAUGUGCUUGUUGAUUUGAUACUAACUGUUGAAGGCGCUCGUCUCUGCAAAAGCUAGCGAUUUCCAUUCCCUCCCAUGGCUAGGUAAGGUUUUGAUGAUAUUGGCCUCGGCAGUUGACCUUAUCAUACGAUACGGGCAGUUCGAAACUGGUAUGGCGGGGGUUGGAAGUUUGCUCAGCGUUAUCAAAUUACAGAGUUUUUUGUUUUUUUUUUCCAGUAUGAUGUACACAUUCAUGAAUAAUGUUGCUCUUUGGGUUUGGUUUUGAUUUGGUUUGGGUUUAUUGUACGUAGUUUGUAAGAUAGUGUAUGUAAACCGAGUGGCUUUUUGGAUUUUGGAUUAUUCCCUCUAUCGUUCGCUUUUGGCUGUGUUUUCUUUUGCUUUUUCCCAGUUUUGGCAGAGUUGGGUGACUGGUUUUCCCUCCUAGUAGCUCCCCAAACUCAGAGUUGUCAUUUGGACGUGUAAGGAUGAUUGGCUAGCUCCCGUGCAUCGAUCUCGUUCUCGAUCCAACUCAUUGUCUCCGACAAUGCUCACCCCUCUGCUUCUCUACUCCGCUAGCACCCUCGCCACGAUUUCUUACGAAACGAAAGCAAGGUAGUAUUAUCCGGAACAAUCAUCCCCAACCAUCCUCUUCACGAAGUGCAGCAUCACCAUUGCAUUUAAGGGUAUUAUUGCAAAUCAUGGUUUUUAGGAAAGUUGAGUUGAAAUUAAUGUAAACAAGUUGAGUUAGAAUAGAAAAACAUUAUAAAUGAAAAUUUGAAUCAAGAAUAUAAAAAUUCUAAUUAGAAUUAUUCCUUUCGUUCGGAAGCUCCCCUUCGUACCACCCCUACUUUCACUCUCUUCGCCGCUACUCUCGGGCUCACAAUCACUACCGCCGGCGCGGAAAUUCCUCACCGUCCAGUACUCCCUCCAUCCCUCUUCCUUUCAUCUCUGUUCGUCUCUCUUUCUCGGUAUUAUUCUGUUUGGCGUGCGCUUGAUUUCGAACUGAUUCCUUGCUGCCGGCGCAACAUUUUCCUUUUGGCAGUUUGCACAGACAUCCCGAUUAUCCACCGUAAUCGAAAUUCCCUCCGUCAACAACAUGGCUGGUAAGUGGUAACCCCCUCCCUCUAUCUCUCUCUGAGCUAAUUGACUUAGCAUAACUAUAACCGAGUGUACAAACGUGAAUGAAAAGGUCAGUUGGUUUUUUUUUUGUUUUAAAGGGUAAAUGAAGGAGCCAUUGUUAACAAUGAGUGAAUCCAUUAUUGACCUUAGAACAUCCUGACUUCAUGUCUACAAUUCAACAAAUCUAUAAGAAGGCUACUUCCUCUGUCUUUAGCAGCCGCAAGUAUAUAACUUUCUUCGAAAUCACUAGGUCAUCCGUCCACUCUAUGAUUGUGUGAAAAGAUAUGCCUUCCAAAUCAAAAUGCUCUGCUUAGUUUUUACAACUGCGAGAUACUUUCUUCACAUGGCUUCAAAUGACUUGUUCUGUACAAUGUCAGUUUCAUCUUGUAAUCGUUGUUUGGUUGAUGGCAACGCCAGCCCUUGUGAUUAACCUCAAUGGAAAUAUUGGAUGGAUACUUAUAUCAGUGUUUUCGUCUUUAUGUACAGAUAAUCAGGAACCGAUCCUGAGCAAGAAUAGCAACACAGGGCAGCCACCGUUACUUAAGAAACUCAAACGCUGGCAAUGGUGGUUUGGAUUAUUCCCUCUAUCGUUCGCUUUUGGCUGUGUUUUCUUUUGCUUUUUCCCAGUUUUGGCAGAGUUGGGUGACUGGUUUUCCCUCCUAGUAGCUCCCCAAACUCAGAGUUGUCAUUUGGACGUGUAAGGAUGAUUGGCUAGCUCCCGUGCAUCGAUCUCGUUCUCGAUCCAACUCAUUGUCUCCGACAAUGCUCACCCCUCUGCUUCUCUACUCCGCUAGCACCCUCGCCACGAUUUCUUACGAAACGAAAGCAAGGUAGUAUUAUCCGGAACAAUCAUCCCCAACCAUCCUCUUCACGAAGUGCAGCAUCACCAUUGCAUUUAAGGGUAUUAUUGCAAAUCAUGGUUUUUAGGAAAGUUGAGUUGAAAUUAAUGUAAACAAGUUGAGUUAGAAUAGAAAAACAUUAUAAAUGAAAAUUUGAAUCAAGAAUAUAAAAAUUCUAAUUAGAAUUAUCUUUUUUUAUCUCAAAGAAAAAUAAACCUUUUUAAUAAACUUUUAUAUCUUUUAAUUUUAUAUUACUUUUACAAUCUCUUCGAAUCUCAAUUUAAUUAUUUUAUAUUAUUCUAAUUUCAUUCUAAAUUCUACGGCGGAUAAAUAUAUCAGCUGUCAUAAAAAAGUGUUCCGAAAUAUAAAGUUGUUUGAAAAAGAAAUCCCGCAAAAUAGUGGGGGAUAUUUAUUCCAAAUCUGCGUUGCGUUAAACUAAACUCUUUGACUCUUGGGCGCUAUUUCCCACCGAAUCGAAAUCUAUGGACCCACCCCAGCUAACGCUCCCACGUAACUACAUAUCAGUGGUAACCCCCUCCCUCUAUCUCUCUCUGAGCUAAUUGACUUAGCAUAACUAUAACCGAGUGUACAAACGUGAAUGAAAAGGUCAGUUGGUUUUUUUUUUGUUUUAAAGGGUAAAUGAAGGAGCCAUUGUUAACAAUGAGUGAAUCCAUUAUUGACCUUAGAACAUCCUGACUUCAUGUCUACAAUUCAACAAAUCUAUAAGAAGGCUACUUCCUCUGUCUUUAGCAGCCGCAAGUAUAUAACUUUCUUCGAAAUCACUAGGUCAUCCGUCCACUCUAUGAUUGUGUGAAAAGAUAUGCCUUCCAAAUCAAAAUGCUCUGCUUAGUUUUUACAACUGCGAGAUACUUUCUUCACAUGGCUUCAAAUGACUUGUUCUGUACAAUGUCAGUUUCAUCUUGUAAUCGUUGUUUGGUUGAUGGCAACGCCAGCCCUUGUGAUUAACCUCAAUGGAAAUAUUGGAUGGAUACUUAUAUCAGUGUUUUCGUCUUUAUGUACAGAUAAUCAGGAACCGAUCCUGAGCAAGAAUAGCAACACAGGGCAGCCACCGUUACUUAAGAAACUCAAACGCUGGCAAUGGUGGCUUCUAGUGUCUAUCAACAUCUUCUUCCUCGUUGCAGGCCAGUGUGCUGCUGUUCUCCUUGGAAGAUUCUACUAUGACCAGGGUGGGAACAGCAAAUGGCUGGCAACUCUUGUUCAAACUGCUGCCUUCCCAAUUCUCUACAUCCCAUUCCUGCUAAUUCCUUCUUCUAAAGAGGAGACUUCAAAUCCCACCUCAUCAUCAUCCUCUUCUUCACCAUCCCUCAAAGUUCUUGCUUCCAUCUACUUCGUCCUCGGAGUAAUCAUAGCUUGUGACAACAUGCUCUACUCCAUCGGCCUACUCCACCUCUCAGCUUCCACCUACUCCUUGAUAUGCGCUUCCCAAUUGGCAUUCAACGCUAUCUUCUCCUACUUCCUCAAUUCGCAAAAAUUCACUUCCUUAAUCCUCAACUCCGUAGCCAUGCUCUCCUUCUCCGCCGCUCUCAUAGCAAUGAAUGACGACUCCAACGACGAACCAUCGGGGAGAUCCAAGUUGAAGUACGCAAUUGGUUUCCUCUCCACAUUGGCUGCUUCGGCAUUGUACUCACUCAUUCUCUCCCUGAUGCAGCUCUCCUUUCAGAGGGUCAUAAAGAAAGAGACUUUCGCCGUGGUGUUGGAGAUGCAGAUCUACACAUCUCUUGUCGCGACAUGUGUUGCCACUGUAGGUCUCUUUGGGAGCGGGGAGUGGAAGACGCUGCACGGGGAAAUGGGAAGUUACGGCAAGGGUAGUGCUUCGUACGUGCUGACGCUGGUUUGGACGGCGGUGACGUGGCAGGUUUGUUCUGUCGGCGUGGUGGGUCUGAUAUUUGUGGUGUCGUCGUUGUUCUCAAAUGUGAUAAGCACGGUGGCGUUGGCCGUAUCUCCGAUCUCGGCGGUGAUCGUUUUCGGGGACAAGAUGAAUGGGGUGAAGGCGAUUGCAUUGUUGAUGGCAGUGUGGGGGUUUGGUUGUUAUAGUCGGCAGAACUAUGAGGAUGAACGUGAGAUUAGGAAGACAGCAGAGGACGCUGCUGCUGCGGAAGCUCGCGGUGGUCAUUUGUGCUAAACUGAUAGUUGGGAGUUUGGGAUUGAUAUUAGAAAUUGGUUUAAUCUGUUAGGAAAGGAAGUGUCCAUGAUGGAAGGAGGUGAAUCGUUGAAAUAAUGAAUGCUGCAGGGAUGUACGUCUUGCUAAUGGCAAAGAUUCAUCUGAAGCAUAUCGAUACUUUUACUGAAAAGAGUAUUUUUUCAAAGUCUGGGUGUACAACUGUCACAGAAUUGUAAUGGAUGGUACUUGAAUACAGGGUGGAUAGAAAUAUUUUAGCAGGUUUUGUUGAUGAUUUGUGAUAGAUCUUUUUGCUGGUACCUUCAGUUCCAGAUUUCCAUGGGUACCAUCUGGUUUUGACUGCGAGACUCUGGCAUGGCCAUGAAGUUUGAGUAUCCUUGUGCCCGCUUCCUCGUCUCCAUUCCAACCCGAGUGAGGCUGUUUGUGGAUGCUGCCCCUGGCUAUUCCACAGUGGAUUGUUGAUCUUGGUCUCCAGAAGAUGCAGACAACUAUGGUAGCCCAGUUCCUCGGCCCAUGUCGAUUUAUUCUUCCCCUGCAGCGCCGCCUGUAAUUGGUUCACUUCUUCUGAUGAUAUUUUAUUAGUUUUUUUUGGCACCGACGUGCUGUUAAAUAUAAUUAGAGAACCUCAUAAUUUUAGAUUAUGAAACACUUAUAAAAUCAUAAUAUAAUUAGUAGGACAGAUCAUAAUCUGACGAAUAAUAUGUAAAUUAUAAUCAAAAGAGUGGCCAAGAUUAGUUCAAGUAAUCCGUAACAAAAUUAACUUUACAAUAAGUGUGGGAUAGACUGAUUAACUCCUUAAACUGCAGAACAAAAAUAACGUGACGAUAACCCUUAUUAGUUAGUUUCCUGAUACAAUCAUGUGUAGUAAUGUAAUAUACUAAUGAACCAAAUUUAAUCAUGGCCAAAGACAAAAUCAAGGCCAUGAUUGGCAGUUAAAAAUGGUUGAUUGAAUCAGGACUAGUCUACUUUUUUUAUAUAGGAAUCGCUCAAAAACUGCAGAUCCUGUUGUUGUCACAUAACAAUAUUAAUAUUGACCGUUAGAUAUAGGUGGUAAGAUCUGAUGGUUGAUAAUAAAAGGGCAGAUGUGUAAUUGCGUCCCUACUUGAAAUUGAUGUCACAAGAAAAGUAAAGGGAGGAGUGGUAGGCGACAAAUUCCAACCAAACCCACCACCGCGCAAUAAGUUUUGGUGGAAUCCAUCGCACUCGCAUCCUUGGUGUUUAUGCAUCGCCGCAUAGCUAAUAGCUUUCCUUUCCACCACCAGUCGGUCGAAUAGAACAUUCCACUUCACCCCCACUACCCGCCCAGCCCCACAUCCCACAUGCGGCUCCACUUUGUUCUUCUUUUCUUCUGUUCGCAACGUUAACCUAAAGAAAGCCACAAAGCUCUCUUCUUCUUCUUCUUCUUCUACUUCUCUUUUGUUUCAAAAUAAUUUGACCAAUCCAACGAACCUUCAGUUGGAUUCGGUUUCCAGUGACGGAGAACCAAAAAUCAUCAGAGUUGAAAUUCUAAGAACCACUCUAUAUGGACACACCCAAAAAGGCCGCUUUGUCUAAUCCCUAUCAUUUCGCGGUCAGGGGCGGAUGCAAAGGGGAGCUGGGUGAGGAGCUGUGGCUCGCCUAGUUUCUGUACAGAGUUAAACUCAUAUGUAUAUUUAUCAUGUUUUUAGGGCUCGAUAUAAUUUUAAGUUUGGCUCGAUGUUUGAUCGUGUCGGAAUUAAAAAGAGUUAAAGGAGAGUGACUCCCACUUUUUUAUUCUGAAUACUAAAUUAUAUAUAGAAAUCACUAGCUUUUGUCCGGCCGAUUGAUUGUAUAAAGCUUGCGGUUGGAUUAUAUAUUCAAAUUUAAGGUGAAUAUUUUUAUAUUAAUCUCUACCUUCUACUUACAUACAUAUAUUUUAUGUUUUUUAGUUUUCAUUUUAAACUGAUAAUAGUAUUAUUGCUUAAUUUUAUUGUGACACGGUGGGUAAUCUGUGACCCACCUACCCCGAGAUCUGAUGAACUUGUUACUUGAUAAACCCAGCAAUGAAUUUGUGACCCGACAAAUCCGCAACCCAACUAACUUGACUCAUAACCCGCCCGCCUAACCCGUUUGGCAAAUUUAACAUACAUGCACUAAACUUAACUAAACUUUCUUUAAAAAAAGACAUCAAAUAGCUAAUUUUAAAGUAUAAUUUUUUUAGUACAAAGAAGGAUUUUAUAAAAUUAUAUGCUUUAUUCUUAAUAUAUAUGACAUUUUGUAGGUUUGUUGUAAUACGAUGGCCAAUCCGUGUUAGUUUGGUGACCCGUCCAUCUCUUGAGACCUGAUGGACCUGCUGCAACCUGAUAAACCUACCACGAUCCCUUAUGGACCCGCAACCUGAUGAACUUGCAAUCCAAUUAACUUGUGACCCUACCACCCGUAACCCAAUUCAAAAUCUGCAACUCAACGAAUCCACAACCAAACUAACAUGACAUCUGACCCACACAACCUGCCCGUUUGAUAAGUCUAUGUACCCUACAAUGAAGUUAGCUUACCGUUCCUAUAAUAAACAAUUCUCAAAUAGCUAAUUUUAAAAUAUAAUAUUUUAGUACAAUAAAGUAUUAUAAAAAAUUAUUUUCAUUCUCGCAUAUUUGCAUUUUGAAUUAAAUCUUUAGUUUUGUGUAGAUACAAUUACAAACCUUUACUGAGAUCUCCUAAAUUCAAUAUCACCCAUUUGUUCAUAUAACUUCUCACUAUCUCCUUAACCUCUUCAACUUUCUGUUUCACCUCCUCCACCGUACAAAACUGCCUAAAAGGCAAUGAAUGCAAACUUAACUCCCUUCAGAACCUCAAGUACCUCACUGUUCUCGACCUUUUCCAUCACUCCUUUUAGAACGCCUUCAACCGUACUGAGACACU